RNAcentral lists this long non-coding RNA (55962 nucleotides) under Daucus carota (carrot). RNAcentral's name for it is "long non-coding RNA (DCAR_LNC000210)". Lineage: Eukaryota; Viridiplantae; Streptophyta; Magnoliopsida; Apiales; Apiaceae. The record is from RNAcentral.
CCUCAAAAAUGGUAACUCCGAGGGACUUAAAUUCUUUGAGAAGGUCCAGCUUGGAGGGAUCAUGAGGAGGUUUCACGGGUCGAGCAUAAACAUAAGUAGGAUGAGCAGCUGCGACGCAUGCUUUCACCUGGUAUGUACCGUAAUAUCCGGUUCCUCCGAAUAUAAGUAUCUUGCUCUUCUUCUCAAUGUCUCCCAUUCUCUUUACAAACAACCUCCUGCUCUUGUUUAAAAUCUCUACGCACCUCCGUUCUUGAAAUAUAUAAAAGAACCAGUUAGUCGAAUUAUUUGGAAAUACGGUACUCCCUCCGUCCCAACCAAUUGUAUACAUUUGGUUGGGACAUGAAGACCAAUAAAAACAUGAAAAAUGGGUAUAAUGGUAGAGUUUACUAGUUUUGAUAUGUAUACAAUACAAUUGGUGAGACGUCACAAAAAGGAAACUGUAUACAAAUGAAUGGGACGGACAGCGUAAUAGUUACGCAAUAGCUCCGCCUCAGACAUUCUGUUUAUUAUGGUCGCUAACAUGAGUCGUAGAUUAUUUUCGCACCACCUUCUGGAGUUUUUUCAACGAAAGACAAAGAAGCCAGAAUAUUGAUGAAAGAGUAAAGAAAAAGGAGUGUACAUGUGACUUGUCUUUCUCAAAGAUACUUCCAAUCUUCGGUUAUCUUUGAGAAAAAUUUAUUUCACAUUUUUGUUUUCCCUCCCUCUGGGAAAAUAUGGAAAGGUCCGAAACAUAUCUAUCUCCGCAUGUAAAAUAAAAAAAUUAUGUUGCCUUGUCAAGAUAUUUUAGCUGCUCGGAAUAUAUUCUUGUCAUUUAGCUAAACUAAUAAACAUCGUAAUAUCUCUGACCCUAGAAAUGGUGGGCUAAAUUCGAUUCAUAUUAUAUUGUAUAAAAUUUGCCUAACACAUUCAACUUUGACAAUAUUGAUAAUAUUGAUUGGCUAUAUUAAAAAAAUAAUAUAUUAUUAUUAUUUUAAAUUAUUAUAAACAAAAUAUAUUAUUUUUAUACAAUAAUAGAUGUCGAAAAGUAAUAGGUGUACAUUGUUAUUUUUAUACGAUAAUCCGCACACAAAUACAUUAGGUUGUUAUUUAAUUGGUGAAUAUGCAUAUGAAUCCACACAUUGCAGCACCCCUUAAUCUUGCAGAGGUCUGAUGAACCUUGCUACUUUUGCUUUCUAUUUAAACGGCUUUUUUCUCAUACUUGGUCUUUGCAUAUUCUGUAGCAUUAUUGUAUUUUCUACACCAACUGGUUUUAUGGAUAACAAUAAAUCUUCAAAAAUUACCAAGUACUUUGGUAUUCGCAUGCAACGUUACAUUUGGUUUUUGCCUGAAGUUCUUUCUUUAGAUCAGGCUUCUAUCUCUCUUACUCUCUAAGGCUCUAUCCCUGUGGAAGUAGUAGAAGUUUUGCUACCUGGUUGAUAAUUGCAGAUAAGAAUGUAUAACAUGGAAGUGAAUAGUUGUACACACAUUAUCUAAUGAUAACGUUCAGUGUCUUGAUGUUUCUGCUAUUAGACUAAUUAGUAUAAUGACCAAUUUUUUGGCAGCUAGAAUCAAAUUAUUCAAAGGUCUUGCAGAAGAGCUUUUAAGACAACAAGUGAAAAAAGCCAGCUCAGGAUUAAACAAGAUAUAUUGCCAAAGUUUUUAAAAUUAUGUGUGAAUAAAAUACUAGAAGCAGCUACUUGAAACAUCAUUGGAGAUAUCAGUAAUCAUCGAUUACAUGUAAGCCAGACAUUAGUAGUCUAAACAAAAUACUUGAGAGAUUCAGAUUAUUGGACAUCUUUUCGGAAACCAAACUAAAAUUAACUACUCCAAAGCAGCUACUCCUGGUUUUGGCGGAUCGACCAUAAAGAUAUCAAGAAGUUCAUCAACUGAUGUAUACUUGUAAUCUGGAUAAAGCUCGACUGCAUCCAGAUCAUCCUCUUUCAUUUCAUAAUUCAUCUGUUCACCUUUUACGAAGAUGCUAUGAACUAUGGAGUUCCCAACAGCAUUCUCUGAUGGAAAUGCUGCCAAUUCAAAAUUUUAGUUGCUUAAUGUUUUAGGCACUCUUAUAAAUCUGCAAUUUUACUUGUAAAAAGUUGGAAUUCAAGUAAAGUAAGUUUUAUUAAAUGAGUUGGUGUGCAGCCUCGUACAAUGAGUUGGUCGUCCUACACUUUCCUAGUUUGAGUCUCAUAUUGAAGAGGUUUCCAUACUCCAACGGAGGCUAGGAAAUGUUGAAUGUGAAAAGCAACUUGUCUUGACUUGGUUGGUAAUGACGCACAUCUAUGGAGAUCUCUGCUCAGAACACAAGCACCCCUCAGGGUGUCAAAACAUUAAACACUAAACAGCAUAGACUGUUAGCUCAUAAAUUAUCUGUAGCUGCUAGCACAGAUUGGUGGACAUCUCAGCAGGGCCGUCUGGGAGAAUUUUGGGGCCCUGUGCUAUAAUAUGAAGUAGGCCUCAAAUAAUAAUAAAAAAUAUGUAUAUUAUAAAAAUAAAUAAAUAAUAAAAAUAUUAAUUUUUUAUAAAAUUAAAACAUGUCACUUAAAAUAAGAUAAAUAAUGUUAUUAAAUAAUAGUAAUUUUAAUAUUUUAAACAAAAUUAAUAUGAAUUUAUAUGAGAUAUAUCUAUAUGUCAUUGAAAAGAAUGAAAUUUAUAGUACAUAUGAAAAAAUAUCAUAUGUAAAAAACAUUAUGAAAACAUUUAAUAAAAGAGAAAUUAUUAUAUAAAAAGUAAAGAUACAACAUAAAAGAUUUAAAAUGCAAAUAGACAUAAUAAACUAAUCUAUUAGAUUAUGUAAUUAUUUAUCUAUAAAUAAACAGAAUUAAAAUAAAUAUAUAAUUUUUAAUUUUCAAUUUCAUUUUCGAAAUUUAAUUUUAUUAAAUAAAACAUUGAUUUCUAAAUUUUGAGGCCCCUAUAGUUUUGGGGCCCUGUGCCGUCGCCCACCUUGCACGCCUCAAAAACCGGCCCUGCAUCUCAGCCAUCACAAUCAAUAUCAAGUACCCCUGGUUUCUGCUGAUCUUGUUUAGGCCUGCCUGCUUGACUUUGUUUGACUUGUAAGGUUAUUGUUUCUGGAGUAGUGGAGUUUAGCACUAGCUAUGAAAGUAGUACGUGAUCAGUGAGCAUAAAAUAUCCACUCGCCUGGAAGUUUUAAGGAUUAUGUUCUACAGUAAUUAUGCGCACUACCAUCAUCAUAUUUUCAAAUUCAUUAUCAUUUUAUUUAUUCUGGUUUAACAUCAUCAUAUAUAUAUAUUUGUAUAUGACAGCACAAGCAAUGACACAGAUCAACAGGCAUUGCUUUCUAAUAAGGCUUCGACAGCAGAUGACCCGUUUGGUGUUCUGGCCUCAGGAACAGUUCCAUUCACUUCAGUCACAAUGAAAUUUGUAUGAAAACCUAGUUUAAACAAUAAACACUGCAAUCAGGAAAUCACUUUCAUGUCAAACAAAAGGGAAAAAACAUGCAAACAACAAUUAAAAGCAUAUACCAGCAAAAUGAGCUCUACAAUCAGAAAAUAUAUUCAAAAUAACCUAAUAGCACAUUAUCCCACAAUCAAUAUAUCACUUUCAUUUCAAGUAGAUAUAUGAAUCAAACAGGAAAACAUCAAAAACUAUAAAGAAUUUAUAGGAUUUACAGCCAGAGAAACUUCACAAUCUAGGAUUUUAUUCUGAAUAACCUAUCGGCAUGCGAUCAUAUUUUGCAGGGCUGAAAUCUUUAGAUUUAACAUGAGAAGUUCUCGAACCUAGUCAUUCAAACACCAGUCUUUCCACUACUGCAUAUAAAUAAAAGAUAAGUCAAUAUCAGCUAUAGUGGGAGAACACUUUCACAUAAAAAGAUGAUAAUUUACACUGGCAUCAUGCCUAUGAAUUUAAAUUGGGUUACUUUGGAAAUCAUCAACUAAGUUAAUAUAUCAAUAGACAAUAACGCUUGCCAGAAAUUCUAGAAAUUAAGAAAAUUAGAUUCAGAUUAGCUAGAGGUGCCACAUAACCGUCCUCGUCUUCUCCUUUAUUUUAAAUAUAUAUUGCAUUGAUGGUUGAUUGAUAUAUUGGUAUCAAUGAAAAAAGUUUGUCUGGUUUUAGCGAAUAUAUAUAUAAGUUGCAAAAAGAAACUGGCUAACAACCCAAUUACAAAUGGUACGUGUCAAGAACACAACAUAAACUUUGUGCAUAAAUGGUCUGUAGAUCUUUGCGCAGACCAUUUAUGCGCAGAUUGUGCAUGAUAUUGCUUUCUUAGUCAAUAUUCUUAGUCUGUGGAGUUCAGCAAAAAGACACCAUGAAACUUGUACUUGAUUAGUAAUUAUUAAAAUUCCACUCACCUACAGUUUUAAGGAAUGUUUUACUAUAUGUAUGUGCACUACCAGUACCAGUAAUUCAUCCCCUCACCAUUUUCUCGUUUCAGUGUACAUCAGCAAUUCAAGAUUGAACCCAUGAUUUCCCGAUUCAUCAUUCUCUCUAUACUAGUUGUCACAACAUCAAAAAAAUAUGUAUUUGCAUCUCCAAGCAAUGACACUGAUCAAGAGGCGUUGCUUUCUUUCAAGGCUUCCAUAACAGAUGACCCAUUGCGUGUGCUGGCUUCAUGGAACAAUUCCAUUCACUUCUGUCAUUGGACAGGCGUUACAUGCAGCCACAAACGACAGAGGGUAACAUCACUACGUCUCACCUUGAAACAUCUGGUGGUGGGUACAUUAUCUCCAUAUAUUGGAAACCUUUCCUUUCUCAGGGAAAUUUACCUCUACGGAAACAACUUUCACGGCUCUGUCCCAAAUGAAGUUGGUCGCCUGUUUCGUCUGCAAUAUCUUAUUCUAAGGAACAACUCUUUCCAGGGUGGAGUACCUGCCAAUUUGAGUCAUUGUGUGGCUAUGAGAGAAAUUAGUAUGUACAACAACAAUCUAGAAGGCAAACUUCCUACUGAGUUUGCUUCCUGGCCUAAGAUUGAACGGAUUGACCUCGCCAAGAAUCAUUUUACUGGCUCCAUUCCGCCUUCAAUAGGAAACAUAUCAUCCCUUCUUCUUCUUUAUCUUGAUGAAAACAAUUUAGCUGGGGGCAUACCUUUGGAAAUUGCUCAUCUUGUUAAAUUGGAGACUCUCGUCUUGGGAAUGAACGAUUUGUCAGGUACGGUUCCCCCACCACUUUACAACAUUUCAUCCAUGUAUAAAUUGGGCUUAUACCAGAAUGACUUAAAAGGAACACUUCCACCAGAUUUCGGUGUCAACUUCCCUCAGCUGGAACACUUUUCCUUGUCAGGGAACAGAUUUUCAGGCCUGCUUCCGCCAUCAAUUACUAAUGCAUCUAAUCUCAUUAUAAUUGAUAUGGCCGAAAAUAAUAUUACCGGGCCUAUACCAAACAAUUUGGGUAGCCUUCCCAAUCUUCAACUUCUAGAUUUAGGUCUCAACCCACUUGGAAACUAUUUGGGCUCCGAUGACUUAAGCUUCUUCAAUUCUUUGGUCAAUUGUACCCAUCUAAAUGAAUUGGGAUUAUACGAUAAUGGUUUAACAGGGGAGCUCCCAAGCUGCAUUGUGAAUCUUUCCAUCAGUAUAGAGCAACUGUAUAUGUAUGAAAACUACAUAUACGGAAGCAUACCUCGCGAAAUUGGAAAACUUGUCAACAUGAAAGUAAUUUCAUUGUUUCGCAACUUAUUUACAGGGAGCAUCCCAGAAUCAAUUGGAGAGCUUGCAAAUUUAGGGAUUUUAGAUUUGCAAGAAAACAACAUAUCAGGAGUGAUUCCAACUUCCAUUAGCAACAUUACUCAUUUAAUUGAUCUGGCUUUAAGUCAUAAUAUGCUCCAAGGAAACGUUCCUGCUAAAUUGUUUAGAAUCUCCACGAUACAAUCAUUGUCCGUUGAUAACAACAGGCUCAUAGGUAUAAUACCUGAGGAAAUCAUGUUUUCUUCUGAAUGUAUUUUCCUUAUUUUGUCCAAAAAUUUGUUUACUGGGCCACUUCCAUCAAACAUUGGAAGCUUGAAGCAUUUGACUACACUAGACCUCUCAUACAACAGAUUAACAGGAGAUGUACCCGCCAAUCUUGCGGCCUGUGUGAUGCUAGAGAAACUGCAUAUGGAAGGAAACCAUUUUCAAGGUAAAAUUCCAUCUUCUUUUAAAGCUUUGAAAAGUCUUUCACUUCUAGAUCUUUCGAACAAUAAUAUCUCUGGGAGUAUUCCAAGCUUUUUUGACACGUUUCAUCUAAUUACGUUCCUGAACCUGUCACACAACAAGCUUGAAGGUGAAGUGUCCAAAGACGGUUUAUUUUCAAACAUUAGUGCUUUUUCAAUAAUUGGAAAUUUGGAGCUCUGUGGAGGUAUUCAAGCAUUGCAUUUGCAUUCUUGUCCAACAAAUGUUUUGAGGAAUAAGAAAAAAAUAUUUGGCCUGAGAAAAAUAUUACUCUUGGUUCUUUUACCUUUUGGUUUCUUGUUACUAUGUCUUGCCUUAAUUUGUUAUAGACGUCGAAAUUUCAAGAAGUUGAAAGACCUCAUCCCAGUAUUGAUGGACAACCAAUUUCCCCAACUUUCAUACCAAGAUCUUCUGCUUGCUACAAAUGAGUUUUCUCCAGAUAAUAUGCUCGGUAGAGGAAGAUAUGGUUCAGUUUACAAAGGAGUUCUCAAAGCAAUGGAGCAAAUAGUUGCUGUGAAGGUACUAAACGUUGAAAUACAUCGAGCAAAGAAAACUUUUUUGGCAGAGUGUCAAACAUUGAGAGAGAUUCGACACCGGAAUCUUAUCAAGAUCAUUACAGCAUACUCUACCAUUGAUUUUAAGGGCAAUGACUUCAAGGCAUUGGUUUUUGAGUACAUGGCUAAUGGGAGUGUGGACAACUGGUUGCAUCCAAGCCCUUCCCAUCAGCGGAAUGAAAGAAACUUGACUCUACUACAGAGAUUAAAUAUUUCCAUCGAUGUUGCAAUGGGAUUGGACUACCUACAUCAUCACAGCCAUGAAAGUAUCAUUCAUUGUGACAUAAAGCCAAGUAAUAUUCUUCUUGAUGAGGAUUUUGUUGCUCAUAUUGGGGAUUUCGGUUUCGCGAGGUUUUCUCAUGGUACCACAAGUGAUGUCAAUCAAACACAGACGAGUUCAACAAGUGUACAUGGAACAUUUGGAUAUGUUCCUCCAGGUGCGGCUUCUGAUGCCAAAUUUUUCAUUAAUAUUUAGAUUGGCUUUAUUGUAUAUAUGUAAAAUGUUAUUGCCAAACUCAUAAUCUUUAGUUUUGCAGAGUAUGGAAUAGGUGGAGAGGUAUCUACAAAGGGUGAUGUGUAUAGCUAUGGAAUUCUUCUACUAGAAAUUUUCUCAGGGAAAUGCCCUACUGAAAGCAGCAUAUUAAAAGACGGUUAUAGUAAUCUUCAUAAUUAUGUGAGGGCAGCACUCCCACGAAGAGUGAUGGAUAUUGCUGAUCCGCAGAUUGUACUUGAUCAAGAAGAACAUGGCUUGACUGUAAAUCAAUCAUACAGCAGGGCUUCCAUGAAAGUAUGCCUCACAUCAAUAUUUGAAGUAGGGAUAUUAUGCUCUGAAGAGUUGCCACAAAAACGCAUAGACAUUAAUGUUGCUAUUAAGAGAUUACAGGCAGCACAAGACACAGUUCUGCAGCACAGGCAGUAAGUUGGGUGAGAGUGGAAAUCUCUAUACUUUCUAAAUAAAGGGAUCUAUAUGUUGAUCCUGAUGUGAAAAUAAAGACUUUGUACCUAUUUAUUUCCCAUAUUAACAGAUUACAUGCGGCAGAAGACACAACUCUGCAGCGCAGGCAGUAAGAUGGAUGAGAGUGGCAAUCUCUAUACUUAAUAAAUAAAGGCAUCUCGAUAUAUAUGAUUCUAAUGUGACAAGAAAUAAUUUUUACCUAUGUAUUUCCCAUAUUUCUAACCUUUUAUGUUUGUAAGCAAGGCUUCAGCCUUGCUUAUUAUAUUAUUAUUAGGUUUUCUUGUUAUUAUGCGAGCACAUUAAGUAUCAUUCAAAUUCACAUAACGUGAAUUUAAUUAUGCAAAUGUAACAACAGAUCGCAUGCAAGGAUGAUUGACUGCUCUCACAAAACCAAGGAAAAAGAUGGAUUAUGUGUUUUUUUGUACAUGUACUUAUCAGAACACUAGAAUGAAUGUUUCAAAGUUACUAAGUGCGUGCUUCUGAUUUUCACAUAUGAUUUGGAUUAUCACUGGUACAUUCUAAGUAGCUAGCUAACUUUGUUUGGGAUGUUUGAGGGAAAAGUAUGGGAUAUUAUGAAAAAGAUAGAAGUACUAUGAACAGAGCCGUUAACUGACUGAUUGCUUUGUUCAUGCCAUUACAUGCUCUAAAUUUAUUAAUCUGUAGUAUGGAUCUUUCCUGUUUCCUAGAUAAUAGGAAUCAGUUCAUUUCUAUAUCAUCUUUUUUUAUUAUGUAAAACUAAUAUUUGGUCGCAUUUUCUAUGGUGGAUAGUUGAUACACCACAACAUAGUGUUCCAUCUUGCAUCAGCCUGUUGAAAUCUGUUUUAACUUUACAAAUCAGACUCCAAAUUAAAAAUAUUAUUGGAUGAUAUAACAACUACUGUUCAUUUCAUUUUUUUGUCCAGAAUAUUCACUCUUUAGUGACAACGGUGGUAAAUCUUAGGAUAUAUAUUUGUGAUUAUUAUGAGCUUUACCAGGUAUUUACCUUAGUUGUAAACUUGUGAUCAUUUUAAAUGCUUGUCCGCCUUCCCUGGAUCAUCCCUGAAGUCAGUCAGAAAAGGCCAAGGAGAGAACCGCAAGCCUGAAGUAGCAAAAAUGGGACUUGGAUCAUCCGCAGCCAUGACAACUGCAUUGCUUCAUGACGUUGGGAUGUUAACCUUUCCACAUCAAACGAAGAUCAACACUUCAAAAUGAAGUACAAUUCAUAACUUGAUGUGGUAUAAUUGAUAAGUGGUAAGGGGUUUUUAUGUCAGUUCUGCAAUUAUGGAAGCCAGCGUGCAUCUGAUUUUCGCCUGAAGUUCUUUCUGGAGGGAAGUCCUUUCUAAGCCUCUAUCCCUGUGAAAGUAACUAAGCCAGCCUCUAUCCCUGUGAAAGUAAUGUAAGAUUUGGUACCUGGUUAAUAAGUGCAGAUAAGAAUGUAUAACAUGGAAGUGAAUAGUUGUACACACAUUAUCUACUGAUAACUUUCAGUGUCUUAAUGUUUUGAUAUUAGACUAUAUACUACACAUACACUGAAUCUUAUGCUUGAGGCCAUAGGUAACUCUACAGUUUUUUUUAUUUACUUUUCUGCUGUUAUUUUAAUUGAGUUUUCUGCUGUUUUAUGUGCUAUUCAGAUCUAUUUUUUUCCUGUUUUCUGCAUAUUUUUCUUGCUGUUUUUGUUCAGUUUUCUGUAGAAUUUUAUCCAAUAUUCUGUGCUAUUUUAGUAUUGCUUCUGCAGGUUUUUGUUCACCAGUUUUGUGUCCUGUUUUCUGCAUUAGUUUGCUGCUGUUUUUGUUCGAUAAUCUGUAGAAUUUCCAGCUUUCUGUGCUGCUCUGGUCCAUUUUCUGUACAGUUUUUUUUUUCGAGUUUUCUGCAGUUUCAUGUGCUAUUCAAUUCUAUUUCGUGUCCUGUUUUCUACACUGGUUUGCUGCUGUUUAAGUCCAUUUCCUGCAGGUUGUUUAUCCAGUUUUUUUUGCAGGUUUAUUUAGGCAGUUUUUGUUCAAUAAUCUGCAGAUUUGCCUUGUUUCUGCAUAAUUGUCUUUGAGCAGAAUUUCUGCAGAAUCUGUGGCAAACUUUUCCUGCAGUUUUUGUGCAGAAUUGUGGCAUAUUUGAGCAGAAUUUCAUUGUUUAUUGUUUCUUAUUUCAGGAAAAACUCCAAAAUUUAAGUUUGUGAUUGACAAAGCAAAGGCUCUGACCAUUUUUAUCUAUGCGCACCAUAAGACCUUGGCCUUGACGAGAAAGUAUACUAAUAAAAGAGAUAUUGUGAGGCCGGGAAAAACACGAUUUGCAAGUUCUUUUCUUACGAUGCAAAGUAUAUUGGAGAAAAAAGAAAAGCUAAAAUUUAUGUUUCUCUCGGAGGAAUGGGGUCAGUGCAAAUUCUUAACUAGUGCAAAAGGUGUGGCUUCUUAUGCAACAAUUGUUAAUCAAUCAUUUUGGACUAAUCUUGCAAUGUGUUUUGAGUUGUUCAAACCUUUAGUAAAGGUUUUAAGACUUGUUGACGGAGAUUGGCGUCCAUCCAUUGUUUUUGUAUAUGGUGAAUUCAAAGUUGCCAAGAAAGAAAUUAUUAAACUUUGUAAAGAUACAAAAGAGAUGUACGAGCCCAUUAUCCAAAUCAUAGACUCGAGGCUAAGGACCGACUUGAUAGUCAUUUACACUUAGCCGGCUCCUUGUUAAAUCCUUAUUCCUACUAUCGAGAUGACGAGGCACAAAAAGAUCCGGCAUGUACGACAGCUAUUUUAACAUGCAUUGAAGCAUUCUUCCCAGAUAAUUUCCAUUUCCAGCACCUGAUUUCUAAUAUUGAGUUGCUGAAAUAUAAAAGAAUAUUUGGAAAAAAAUUAGCCAAAAUAGGUAAUAAUGAUACUUUUGAUGUUGGUAAGUAAAUAUUUAUUCUCUUCUAAAUUUCUGAAUAUCUAUCUUAUUUGAUCUUUCACUAAUACUUUCAUAUCUCCUAUUUUAGUUGGAUAGUGGCCAAAUUACGGUGCUGAAACUCCAAAUUUGCAAAUGAUGGCCAUGAAGAUAUUUCCUCCGUCCCUUUUUAGUUGUCACAUUUCUAUUUUUGUUGGUCAAAUUGACUAAUUUUUUACAAAAGAUUAUAAGUCACUUUUAUAUUAUUUUAAAAACAUGAGAAUUACAUAUUAAAGUAGAUUAAAGAUUAUUUACAGCGACAUAUUUUUUUUAUUUUAUUAAUUGAUAAAAUAUUAAUAUAUUUCAAUAAAAUUUUGGUCAAUUUGACUGGUCAAAAGUCAAAUGUGACAACUAAAAAGGGAAGAAAGGAGUACUUUCUUUAAGUUCAAGUUCUUCGGGAUGUGAAAGAAAUUGGAGUACAUUUGAUGGAGUAAGUUGGUUGAAUGAUUUCAUAGAACUAAUUUAUUAUAUUAGUUUCUUAUAAUUAUAACUUACAAGGAUUAAUUGACUGCUCUCUUAUAUUAUUUUUACAGAUUCAUACCAAAACGAGGAAUGGAUUAGAUGAUGCAAGAAUGAGCCAUCUAGUAUAUGUGCAAUUUAAUUUAAAACUUUUUACCAAGGAAAAGAAAAUGAAAGAAAUAUAUGAUGUAUUAAUAGCUAAUGAUGUAUGACGGGGGUGAUGAUGAAGAAGAGCUUUCUCAGGAUUCUAACAUCACAAGUGAGGAGAUUGGUGAAGUAACUAGAAGGAUUAUGCGAGAACUUGAUGAAGAAGAUUUUGAAUCGAAAGAUGAAGCUAAUGACAACGAAAUCUCACAUUUGAUUUUGAUGAUUGUGAUCAACAGAGAUGGUGAAAGAUUGUUGUGUCUCUUGACUGUAAAUGUAGCUUGAACAUACGUAAUAUUUGUUCUUUGAAGUACAUUUGACUUUGUAAACAAAGAUAUCAUGGCUUUUAGGUUUUACUCAUGUCCUAAAAGGCGAGUAGAACAGUUACUAUAACUGUAUUUCAUUGCUUACAGAUCAUUCAGAGAGCUGGUUUUACAUACACAUCUACAAUCACCCAAUGAAGCUACUAAGAUGCAGUGUCAUUGUCUUAUAUAUUCAGAGCCAAUGCAGUAUUCAACUUAUGCCGUGGCCCUGAUUCAACAUUUGUUUUCUUCACAUGCCAGAGGCCAGAGGUGUCAUAAUCUAUGCCAGCCAGCGGUGUCACAAUUCAAAAAAGUUCUUGCAGAAGAGCUUUUAACACAACAAGUGAUCAAAGAAGCCAGCACAAGAUUAAAGAAAAUAUAUUGCCAAAGUUUUCAAAAUUAUGUGUGAAUAAAAUACUAAAAGCAGCAACUUCAAACAUGAUUGGAGAUAUCAGUAAUCAUAGAUUACAUGUAAGACAGACAUUAGUAGUCUAAACAAAAUACUUGAGAGGUACAGAUUAUUGGACAUCUUUUCAAAAAUCAAACUAAAAUUAACUACUCCAAAGCAGCUACUCCUGGUUUUGGCGGAUCGACCAUAAAGAUAUCAAGAAGUUCAUCAACUGAUGUAUACUUGUAAUCUGGAUAAAGCUCGACUGCAUCCAGAUCAUCCUCUUUCAGUUCAUAAUUCAUCUGUUCACCUUUUACGAAGAUGCUAUGAACUAUGGAGUUCCCAACAGCAUUCUCUGAUGGAAAUGCUGCCAAUUCAAAAUUUUAGUUGCUUAAUGUUUUAGGCACUCUUAUAAAUCUGCAAUUUUACAUGGAAAAAGUUGGAAAUCAAGAAAAGUAAGUUUAUCAAAUUAAUUGGUGUGUAGCCUCUUACAUUGAGAGAGCUUGAUAAUCUCUUCCUCGGGAAUGUAGGUCUUUUCCAUAGUACGUUCAGUUUUCUUCUCCCAUCUUGAAAUCAAAUCUAGUUGAGUAAUUAUAUUUUUGGGAAGCCUGUAGAUAACUAGACCAUUUUCUGUUCGCGGAUCUGUUGCGACUCUCACUGUGUAUUCAGCUAUGUCUUUUUCGUAGUUGCACACAACUACAAUUAAAAUUUUAAGGAGAUAAUUGGUUGAUCACAAAAAGCAUAAAUUAGCAAGUCUCCAUUAAUCAAAGCUUGAAACCUUCACUAGCCAACAAUAUAAGAAAAGAAAGUUUGCGACGUAUAAAGUCCUUACAUUCUGAAAAACAGAGUAAAGACCUACACUUGGCUUCCCCAGUGCCAUAGAUAGUAACUUUCUGGGACUUUUCAUCGUAAGGACGAAGCAAGAAAUUGACAAAAUAGGCUCCAAAUGUGUUGGCGGAAACAAAAGUAUAUGGUAUCCCAGAUUCUUCAGCUGCCCUUCUCACCGCUUUCUUCUUGUCGCAGCAUUCUUGAAAUGGUGGAAGUGGACUAAUUCUAUCCACCUCAUUCCCAAAUUCUGAAGGAAUAAAUCUCUGAUCCGCGCAAAUUGGAGAGAGAGAAAGACCAUUAUAUAUGUAGCUAAUGAAAUCUAUGAUAUUGCAAAGCACAUUGAUAUAUGAGUUCAAUUAUCACCUUUAUGUUACCAGCUUCUUCCAUGGCUCUUAUUAUUUUGAGUUGUUCAAGGUAUGAAGGUACUCCGAAUGUCACGAUUACAAUAUCCACCCGACGAAGCACCUCAACAAGCUUGUCAUGUUCAUUCACUUCUCCCUGUUCAUAUACGUGUUACUUCUGGAUUUAACUAGCCAAGCCUUCCCAUGAUAAAUUAAUAUAACAUUACUAUCAUAAUGGUACAAAUUAAGAAGAAUGUUCUAGUCGGGGAUAUAUACAUGGUUACCUGCAUGCAUCUCUAUAUACCUGGAAAAUGGUGACUCCCAUGGAUUGAAAUUCCUCAAGGAGGUUGAGCUUAUUGGAAUCGUGCUGGGGUUUCACGGGUCGAACAUAAACAAAUGUGGGAUGACCAGCUGAAGCGCUUGCCUUUACCAAGUACGUACCUAAGUAUCCAGUCCCUCCAAAUAUCAGUAUCUUACUCUUACUCAUUCUGUCUUGUUUGCAAAACUUAUAACUAAUGCUCAAUCUGAGCACAGCUGCUGCAUGUGGAUGUAUAUUUAUAGCAGCUGUUUGAUGUUAAAGGAUUAUCAUUCUGUGCCUCUCAAAUAAGUUACAUGCAUGAUUUCCGUGUUCAAAACUGAAGUUGAUUGCUGCCAAAAGUUUGUUCGUGCUGGACGUCUGGACCACAUUCCAACUUACUUGCGGUGUCAGGGUGUUUGGUUCAAUGUUAAUGAGUCUAAUAAACAGGAAUCAGAAAAUCAAACCCACGUGUUGUUUGAAUUAGCAAGAUCGGAAUGUGAACCACAUUACCAUUUCAUAGGUAAAUCAUGCAUUCGACACCUCUUGGGAAACCAUCUUAUAUCCUUCAUUCUUAUACCGCUCAUUGUCAGUCUCAAUUUCCAUUUCAGUCUACCGUCCAAACCGCCUCUUAUAUUUUUACUGUUAUAUCCGAAAUUUAUAGAUACUACGUAAAAUAAUUAAUCACAAAAUCAUGGGGCUAAUUGUUGGUGCGUGCUUGAUGACUGUGGCUGACGUGAAGGUGCUUGACAUCACAGAAGGGUGACAAGACGGGACGUGUGCACGUGACGGCAUGCCGAUUGUUUGAAUUCGCGGAGAACGAGUCAAAGGCGGAAGAUAAGCAUUGAGGUGGUCAUAUGCGGAUAAGUAGGAGAGAUAAGUUACAGCUGCACGUGGAGCAUUAGUAGGAGUAGUAGUUACAAUAUGACUUGUAUAAAUAGGGCUUAGAUUCAAGCUGUAAAGGGCAAGCAAUAAGCAGCCUCAUAUCAAAAACAUUGUACGCAAAUUAUCUACAUAGUGAAACACAUAUUUGGCAGGGCAUCGACCCUCCCGCGGUUUUUUCCUCUUCGGGGGUUUUCCGCGUAACCAAUCUUUGUCUCGUUACUUGUUCAUUUUAUUCUUAGUUUAAUUCUUUAGCAUUUAACCCCGCAAAAUCUUGCACGAACAAUUGGCGCCGUCUGUGGGAAACUUGCUAAAGAUUCUACGAGGAAACACAUGACGAUGGCUGAUCAACAACAACACGGCUCUACGAGCCAGGGAGACAAUCCCACAAUACAACAGCUGAUGGAGACAAUCCGCAAGAUGCAGGAUGAUAUGAGUUCACAACAGGAGGCUUGGAGGACCGAGAGGGAGACACUACAGAAAGAACUUACGACGGCCAGGUCGAAGUCUAAUCCUACGUCAAGGGGAGUCUUGAACAGUGUCGCCAGGCGUUUGAACAUGGACGAUGAAGAGGAAGAGGAGUACGACGAAGAGAUUGAGGUGGAGAACCCUGAACAAGAGGUCCCAACCGCCAAUAACGCCGGUGAGAAUUUAAACGGCUCUAGACGACAAAGCGAAGGCAAGGGAGGCGACAAGGGAAACAAGAAGAAGAAGAAGACAGACAGCAAGUCCUCCAAGUCACGAAGCCACGACACGAUGCGAAAGGAAUUACAAGCUCUGAAGGACUUGGUGCAGCGCAUUCCGGGAGUACCAAAGCCCCUAGAAAAAGCCACACCCCUGAGCUACGCAGACUCGCCAUUCUGUGACAGCAUAGCUAUGGUCGAGACCCCGAAGCGCUUCGCAGUACCAGCCAUGAAGGCCUAUGACGGCACGACUGACCCACAGGAACACGUCGCGCAGUACAAACAAAGAAUGUUCACUGUGCCUAUCACGAAGGAACUCAGAGAAGCAUGCAUGUGCAAGGGCUUCGGCUCAACACUCACAGGACCAGCCCUACAGUGGUACGUAAGUCUGCCCAACGGGAGUAUUGAGACAUUUGCUGAUCUGGUAGACGCCUUCAACCUCCAGUUCGCAAGCAGUCGAGUGUUCGAGAAAACUACAAGUGACUUAUACAAGAUCGUUCAGAGGUACAGGGAGCCGUUGAGAGAUUACUUGACAAGAUUCAACAAAGAAAAGGUGACGAUCAUGAAUUGCGACAUCCCGACGGCCAUAGAGGCCUUCAGACGUGGACUGAAGAGGGAUUCACCGAUGUAUGAUGAGCUGACGAAGUACCCCUGUAAGACGAUGGAGGACGUGCAGGCCAAGGCUAUGGCACAUGUAAGAUUGGAGGAAGACGGCGAGGAGUAGUACCGUCCAAGUAGUAAGAUCACGACGGCCAGAAUAAGAGAUUACAAACCAUACGACAGGACAUCAUCUAGUGUUGAAAGCGGUUCAAAACACCAUGGACGCGACAACAACUGACACCUACAAAGGCCCUGACCUUAUAGACGUAGUGGUUGGUCAUGGAGCUUAUCAAUUGUCUACAAUAGACUGGUCGCAAGUACCAGGGACCUGGAAUGCUUUUCAUUUGAAGGCAUAUCACGUGUAAUGUUCCUUGCUAUCUUUUCCUCUUUAUGUCGUGUUUCAGUAAGUAAGUUAGGAGAAUUGUCUUUGCUUGGCCUUUCGCCACCUAGGAUUUGCUUGAUGUGUGCUAUAACUACCAUGCUCCGGUUGGUUUUGAUUAAUAAGAUAUGCUCGUACCUUCGCCCAUGAAGACUUAUAUGCUUGCAUGAUGUUCGCGUGUCCAUACUCUUCUGCCAUCUAUGUGUUAUAUUUAUGUUUAUGUGUUUACCUUCUUGGAUAAUUUAUACUUUUGUAAAAUUAAAUUGCUUCUACAUAAAAAUCUAAAGGGCUGAUCACCCAUCCUACUACGGUUGAACAUUAACGAAAGAUGAUGACGACAAUACUACACAUUACACAAAUAACUGACGACGCCACGAAAAAUGAUGCAUUUAAACAUUAUGUACUUAAACAUUACAUAAUCACAAUUACAAUUACGAGCUAAGUUUCAAGAGGGAAAGGCCUUUUAACUAGCCUACGAAUGCAUGCAUCGACGUUUGAAAAUAAAUAUAUUUGUCAACUACAAUUACGCAUAUUACAAGUUGAAAUACAUCGACAUAUUUAACAUACAUGUCGACGAAAGCUCUACGAAAUUACACAUGUCAUGACCCUUGGUCGGACACAUGAACUACAACAUACAUUCUUACAUGUCAUCACUUACACGUGUCGCGACAUAUUGCAUCGACCACAUGUCAUACGUUAUAAUUACAAGUGACAUAUUAAUUUACAAACAUAUCACGUUAUGAUGACAAGAUACAUUUCAUGUCUACAAGUUACAUGUUACGGAUGGAAGACAUGUUUCAAAGUACUUUACGUGUUGGUACUCCUAUUCAUUGCGUCACAAUCACUCCAAAUUCAGGGGUCACAUGAAACAAAUUCAAGUCACGGACACAUAGAAAUACGCAGCCGACAAUCACAAGAUUAUAUACAACAUCUUGUAUAUGUCAGAAUUAUCUAUAAGGGGCUUUACAAAUAUAAUGCAAAACAACGUCACAACUUAAUUGACAUGUUGAUACCAUGGGGCUGUCCGACGGGUUGGCUGAGUUAAAAAAAAAACACGUUGCUCAACACACAUAAUGGACGUCUACAAUAAUCGUUCUACACACAUUAUGAAAGCCAUCUACGAGUAAAGAUUUCGGAAUUACAUCGACACGUCCAACAUUACAACAUUUCAUGAGACUGCCUGACAAGUUGAUCAACUUGUCCAUAUAUGGUCGACGCCUUCAAUCUACAACACGUGAUGGUUUGAGAAGAUGACAACUUACAUGUAUCACAUCGUUCAGAGGUGCACAAAAACUUUGAGAGGUAUUUGUCAACAUGACCUCAAGCGAACGGGCAAACAGAGUCAAGCAACAAGAUCAUCAUUAAUAAAUCUAUAGAGGGGGCUGACGACAUGUAAGGGACGUUGAGCUAAGGAAUUUCCAUGGGUCUUGUGGUCCGACGAGACAAUACUGAAGAUGUCGACGGGACAGACAUAUAGUCUUGUCUAUGAAACUGAAGGUGUCCUGACGCCAGAAGUCAUGACACCGACGACAAGAUAUGGGCUGCAAAGAUAUGACGAUGCACUAGCACAUGACAUUGACGUUGUGGGUUAACUAAGAGAAAUGGAGAAGAUACAGAAAGAGUCAUAGUGACAGAGGGUAGCAAACGCUUACAACAAACAUGUUCGUGUCAAGACAUUUACCAUUGACGACUUGGUCUUGCGGGAGGUAUUUCAGAAUACUAUGGACAUGACGACCGACAAGUUUGCUGACACAUGUGAGAGGUCCUACCUUGUUGACGCUGUAGUUGGACCCGGAGCAUAUCAGUUGUCAACCUUGGACGGAAUUCAGAUACACACGCUAACGUCAAACAAGGAAACGCUUCGUAUGAUUUGGAGAGAUUUUAUUAAUUAAACAAAUUAAUUAAUAAAAUCUGGGGCUAUUGUUAUAUCCGAAAUUUAUAGAUACUACGUAAAAUAAUUAAUCACAAAAUCAUGGGGCUAAUUGUUGGUGCGUGCUUGAUGACUGUGGCUGACGUGAAGGUGCUUGACAUCACAGAAGGGUGACAAGACGGGACGUGUGCACGUGACGGCAUGCCGAUUGUUUGAAUUCGCGGAGAACGAGUCAAAGGCGGAAGAUAAGCAUUGAGGUGGUCAUAUGCGGAUAAGUAGGAGAGAUAAGUUACAGCUGCACGUGGAGCAUUAGUAGGAGUAGUAGUUACAAUAUGACUUGUAUAAAUAGGGCUUAGAUUCAAGCUGUAAAGGGCAAGCAAUAAGCAGCCUCAUAUCAAAAACAUUGUACGCAAAUUAUCUACAUAGUGAAACACAUAUUUGGCAGGGCAUCGACCCUCCCGCGGUUUUUUCCUCUUCGGGGGUUUUCCGCGUAACCAAUCUUUGUCUCGUUACUUGUUCAUUUUAUUCUUAGUUUAAUUCUUUAGCAUUUAACCCCGCAAAAUCUUGCACGAACAGUUACUCGAAAUGGCUUUAGGAUUUGCAUGCAUUCUGCAUGUGUUGGUGAUAUUUUGUAAUUCUGUCAACAAUAUUAUAGUGACAGACACCAAACAGUAGAAUGGUUCCAAGCCCGCCCGCACAUGUAAGAUUGUUAGGCGAUAGUAGUGGGGCGCGUCCUAGAAUGUAAUGCAACAUGAGACCUCAUGGGUUUAUGUAAUCCAAUCACAGGAAACUGUUGCUUUAGAUAUGUUAGAAAUGUCUCCUCGUAUUCUACCUAAUACUGUACGGUCACGAGCUUCGAUUCGUACUAAAAGCCAAGUCAGUGUGAAAGUGGUAGAAUGUUUCAUUGAAAGAGCUUGAUCGAGUAUGACUGACUACUGAGGAUCGAGGAGAGGUGUCUUACUUGACUGUCUAUAAAUCGAGAUAACCCACAAGGUCGCCAGUUUCUCCGGCCAUUUAAAUUUGUCCAAUCAGAGAGAAAAAUAGAUCACACGUAUAACCUUCUGUUCUAGUGAUAAUAUUUCUAUAAAAAUUAGAGACCAUUAUCAUUUUAAACUUAACAAGAUUGAAAAAGAUGUAAGAUGAGAAUAAGUGUACAUAUGUUGAUCGAGUAAAAAUCAUAUUAGAACUGUUUGUAAAUUAUAUUUAUAAAUUAAACUUAGUAAGAAUAUUUGCAUUUUAAGAAUAAAAAUUGUUAUACUAAAAAUUAUAUAUAAACAAUUAAAUUAUUUGUGUAUAAUCUGUAAUAUCCGGGAUUUCGGCAUGUAUUCAUUUAUACCAGUAUGUAGAUAUUUUGUGAAUAUUAUGUGAAUUAAUUGUGAAUUAUAUAUUAAGUGACUUGCUGUAUGAUCGUCUAUGUGUGUUAUGACUUGUGAGUUGAUAAUUUUUAUAUGAUCAGAUCAAAAUAUGGAGAAUUUAGGCACUCAUUUGGCAAAUUAUGGAUUAUUACAUGAUUUGAUAUUUGAUUUAAGGGUUUAAUUAAGUAUAUUAUAAGAUAUUAUUAUUAAAUUGAUUUUAAACCCGUUUACUCGAUAAUUAAACCCCGGGGGGCUUCCGGGAAAAUUUUGCCGGUUUGUUAUUUGAGAUAUUCUGAACAACUUUCGUGUUUUAACUUUUCCCAUCUGGUGUACGGAUUUACGUGAAAGAGUUUCGGAACGAUUUUAUGAAUAUUUUAUUAUUAUCGAUAAACGUGUACGCCGGAUAUUUUUAACCCCACAUUAUUUUGACUAAAGCAUUAUAUUUCUCGUACUUCGUGCCAGACAAAGCUCGGAGCCCCAUACGUUUCUCGUAAUGUGUGUAUUUGAUAAUUAUCUUUAAAGUCGGUCCCGAACGGAUCAAUUUUAUUAAUACUUAAUGAUUAAGAAGUGUAUUUUAUAUCCGAUAUGAUCCAAAUGGGGGCCAGUUAUUCGUAAUUAUAAAUAGGAUAAUUACUAUUUUAUUUUUCAUAAUUAUCAUUUCAAUACACGAGAAUCGAGAGAAACUAGUUAUUCGUUCUUCGCGUUCUUGAAGUUCAAUCGAAGGUUUGAAGGCGUUAUCGAUCUCAGAAUCAAGCAUACAAGUAGUCCAAACGAAGGUAUCGACGCGUAGAAUCCAUAUCAAGUCUCAAAAACAGGUAGAGAUUCACCGUUGGGGAGUAAUUUGAGUUUGAAAUUUCGUAUGAAUUAGGGUUUAAUUAGGGCUUUUUGAUUUUGAUGUGGUUUAUGUGAUUUUAUGCUUCCAUGUUGUAGAUAAUCUUCUCCUGAUCAUUUUGGUAUAUCAUAUGCAUGAUUUGGAGUUCAAUAACAUGUUCAAAAUUGAGUUUAAUUGUUCGAAUUAGAAAUUAGGGUUUAUAGCCGUUUGAAUGUUUUCAAUUGAAAAUUAGGGCUUUUUAAUCCGGGAGGUAGAAGUGAAAUUGGAGGAUACCAUCAUGUUUGUCAUGUCUCCAGGAGUGUGUACAUAUGUUUAAAUUGUACCUGAGGUUCAGGAAUUGGACGAAUUGACGAGAAGAAAACUCGCCGGAGACGGCGAGUUUCUUCAAGUCUUUCCGGCCAAUUUCUGGCUGGGUUGGUUGAAUUGAAGUGAUGUACAGGUUUUAAAUGAUGCUGGGAUUAAUUCUGGAGAGUUGUGUGGCCAAAGGAGGCCGGAAACGCCCCCUCCGGCGAACGGAGGCGAUGGCGGUGCCAAAUUACAGUUUGGCACCCCAUCGUUUGGAGAUGAUGAAGAUUCAGCACUGUAGUUUCAAUUUUAACACCGUGAACCCUGUAGUUUUAAAACUUGCAAUUCAGACCCUCAAGUUUUCCAAACUUGCAGUUUGAACCUUGAAGUUUCAAAAACUUUUAAAAACAGUUUUAUUUAAUUUAUUUUUAUUUCGAAAAUCGUUUAUUUAUUUUCAAAAAUAGUUUUUAAUUAUUUCUUUAUUCAAAAACAAAUCUAAUUUAAUUUAUCAAUUAAUUUUAAUUAGUAAUUAAUUAUUAUAAUUAGUCAAUUAAUUUGAAUAUUAAUUGAUUAAUUGUUUUAAUUAUUUAUUAAUUGAUUUUAAUUGAUUUAUUAAUUAGAUUUAAUUGUUUUAAUUGUUUUAAAAAUCCAGAAAAAUAGUUUCAAGCUUUAGAAAAUUAUUCUAAAGUAUGUUGAAGGUUUGUUAAUCGAUUUCAAGUGAUUUCGAACCUUAUUUCGAAUAUUUGAACUUGUUUAUUCAAUUAUAACUUGAUUCUUUUACCCGUUUUUAUUCCGAAAAAUGUUUGAGAAUUCAUAAUAAAUACCAGAAAAAUCAUUUUAACCUCAAACCUUUUCUGAAAAGCUAUUUCAUUGAUUCUCUUAUGUGUUAGGUGCUAUGUGUUACUUGAUUGAGAUGUGAAAUGCUUAUGUGAACGUUAUAUGACUGUUUUAAUCGUAUCUUUUGAACCGUAAGUCGGAUUUAAGUGAAACGAAGGGUAGAUAGAAGCUUGUUUCGAUUAUGAAACAAAUAGAAUGAUAUGAGAUUGAGUAUUGAUAGAUGAAUAUUGUGAUUAUCAGAGAAGGACAGGCUUAGGAAAGGAAAGCAAGUAGUAUUGGAGUGAUUCUGUUUAGUGAAAGCUAUAAAGAGAAGUAAAUCUUCCAGAUAAGGCAAGUGCUCUAUUCUCAACUUAUACUUCUGUAAACUCCUUGAGUUACUCUUCUGCAUAUAAUGUCAUUGUUCUGGAUAGAUUUGAAAGUACUUCUGUUGAUAUAUUGUGCUAUUGAUCCUGAUUAUUGAUAAACCUUAUUCAAUCCUUUCAACACCUGAAUUACAAGCUGAACCUUGAUUUUGAUUUCAAUUAAACUUAUACCCAUUUCUUUGAGACUGUCAAUUGAACUUGAACCCAUUUCUUUGAGACUUGGAAACACAAAUCAUUUGCUUUGAUAUUCUGCCAUCCUUGCAUGACCAAACAGUACAAGCCUAUAUGUUACAAUACUUCACCAAAUUAUACAAUGUCUUACCAAACACCUAUAUUACUCUUUCGAAGAAUGUUCACACAUAUACACCCUAACACUUGAAUUUCCUUCAAGAUAAACAUAAUUGGAACCUUAAGUCAAUCUCAAUUGCAUUAUUUCUUCUACAAACACCAGAUUGUUUUCACCAUAUACUUAAUCUUUCUUUCGACUUCAAGCCAUUCUUCGAACAUAUUGUGAUGAUACUUGAACCUAAUUCUGAAUUGUCUUUUAAUCUUGAUAAAUAUUGCAACCCUCGUUAUAAUGAUUCUGAUUUAACGAUUAUGAUUCUGUUUUGGUAAUAUUGCUUCUGUUCAAAUGGUAUUGAUUCUGAUUUAUUGAGAUAUUGUUGAUUUCAUUAUAUUGUUAAAGAAUUGGAUUGUUUUAUAAAUGUGGACCAGAUUCGUGGUCAGACCAGAUUCGUGGUCAUUAGGCCAAUGUGUGCCUUGGAUCCAGUGAUAGAGCUUGGUAUGUACCUGGCUCGGGGUUAGUGCGUGACUGAUCAGCAGCCUAACCUUGGUUUUUAAAUAAAAAUAUGAAUAUCCAAUUCUAAUCAUUGUUUUAAAAAGGGAACUUGAUGCCUUGAUUCAUUCUUAUUGAUAAAUGUUGAACUUCAGUUUAUUGUUUAUAUUACUUGCUGAGCUGUAAGCUCACUCUUGCGAUGCCUUAUGUUCUUUUCCAGUGAAGAAAGAGACUACUGUUAGCGAGGACCCACAGGCUAGCCAUCAAGCUAAGGUAUCAGGAUGAGUGUUGGGAAGCCUUGCUAGGAGUUGCUGAUAUUAUAAACUUUUGAGUAUCGUUGUGUGUAAGCACUACGUUUUAUGUUUGUAAGUUGUAAGAUAUGGAUUGGGAUUUGACGUAUUGUAAUAUGACUUAAGUUGUGGCUUGUUUCAUGCUAUAACCUGAAGCGAUCCGUGGAUGUUUAGGGUCAAUGCAUAUAUUAUUAUGGUUUACAGGUUUAUAUUGUUGUGUGAGCCCCCCAGGUCUAUGACCCGGAUUUGGAGGGUGUCACAGGUUGGUAUCAGAGCUACAGGUUAUGAGUCAAUGAAACAAGCCUAGAUUGUCGGGUUUGGGUAGAGGGAUUAAGAUUAGAAAUGAGUGAUAGGUAGAUAGAACGUUGAGAGGUGAGUAUUAGUGGAAAAUAGGCCCUUGUGCUAUCAGAGAUUCUUAUAUAUGUUCUGUUAUAUUGAUUUACAGAUAUUCACGAUGUCAGACCCUAUCAUUCCUCCAUAUCCCCAGUAUUCAGAGACUACAGUUAACGGACCCCCACCCCCUCAGAGACUUGAGCCUCACCCUCCUGUUUCACCCCCUUUAGAGGAUGUGUUGGCUGCAGCAGCAGUGGUUCCUCCCAGAGAUAUACCCUCGACUUCUUCUGCACCACCCCUUGUUCCUUAUCAUGAGUUUGAGGCGAUGAGUAUGGAGCGUCAGUAUCUACUCGGACAGGUUAGAGAGCUGGAGCGUAUCAUACAGAUGAUGGACACUGGGAGAGCUGAGCGAGCGCUGAGGUAUGAGAUUGUAGAUGUUAGGAUGAUGGCGAGGGCGAAGCUUGGUGCCGUAGCUGAAGAUCAGAGUACCUACAGUGAUUUAGUGGAGUGGGCCAUAUGGAUGAUGAAGGAGUUGGAUAAGCUUGGAGGUCCUACUUUUCCUUGGAGUUAGACGGUGGUAGUUACAGAGUGGAGGUACCAUGUAUAUUAGUGUGUAGUGUGUAGUGUGUGGUGGUAGGGUAGUGUCAGCCGAUUUUGACCUGAUAUAGACUAAGAUGUGCUGACCAGUGUGUAGGUUGCUGUUGUGUUUUACUUUUGACAAGCGCUUGCGCUGAUGUACCCCCAGCUCUUUAUAUAUAUUAGAACUUUUCUUUUUCAUACUGUCCUUUUACUUUAUUGCACCCGUUUUACUUACUUUACAUAUUACACUUGUUUUACAUACUGCACUUCAUAUAAACCCUGUGAUAUCAUUAUACCCUGUUUCUUUCAUUAUUGCUCUGUUCUGUGAAGAAGCAUGCGAUUUAUUUAAUUCAAUGAUCAAAAAUGUUUUCAAAAAGAAAUAUUCUGUUUUUCUAAAAACAAUUGCUAAAAGUUUUGAAGGUUAAAUAAACUGCUUGUUUCUUUACAGAGCUAUGCCUCCUAGAAGACAAACCCGUGCAACCAACCCUGAUGACAACAACAAUAACAACAAUCCAGAACCUACAAUGGCCCAGAUUCUUCAGAUCUUGGCCCAACAGACUGCCAACCUGUACUCANNNNNNNNNNNNNNNNNNNNNNNNNNNNNNNNNNNNNNNNNNNNNNNNNNNNNNNNAGUAGUUACAGAAUGGAGGUACAUGUAUAUUAGUGUGUCGUGUGUAGGGUGUGGUGGUAGUGUAGUGUCAGCCGAUUUUGACCUUAUAUAGACUAAGAUGUGCUGACCAGUGAGUAGGUUGCUGUUGUGUUUUACUUUUGGUGAAGCGUUUGCGCUGAUGUACCUUCAACUUUUCAUAUAUAUACCAGAACCUUUCCUUUUACAUAUUGUUCUUUACUUUAUUGCACCUGUUUUACUUACUUUGCAUAUCACACUUGUUUUACAUACUGCACUUCAUAUAAACCUUGUGAUAUCAUUAUACCCUGUUUCUUUCACUAUUGCUCUGUUCUGUGAAGAAGCAUGCGAUUUAUUUAAUUCAAUGAUCAAAAAUGUUUUCAAAAAGAAAUAUUCUGUUUUCUAAAAACAAUUGUUAAAAGUUUUGAAGGUUAAAUAAACUGCUUGUUUCUUUACAGAGCUAUGCCUCCUAGAAGACAAACCCGUGCAACCAACCCUGAUGAACGAAAACCAGAGCAUCAUGAGGGACAGUUUCAGCAGGGAAGGUUUCAGAACUUUAACCCGAAGAAAGGGAAAUUUCAGCAGGGGAGAAAUCCCACUUUUAAGAAGCCGGAUGUAGGUGGUAGUGGACAAGGUAACCGUCCAGCUAUUGGAAAUCAACCAAGGCCUCCACUGCCGGAGUGCCAGAUAUGUGGAAAGAGACACGGGGGAAUCUGUAAUAGAUUGAAUGUAGUGUGUUAUAAGUGUAAUCAGAAAGGACACUAUUCUAGGGAAUGUCAGAACCCACCAGCACGGACCCCAAUGAUUCGAGAUCAACCAGCAAGGAACCAACCCAAUAGAACUCCAGCAGCUGGGAUAACAUGUUUUAGGUGUGGAAAACCAGGACACAUGGUGAAGGAUUGCAAGGUACCAGCUCCAGGUAACCCUACACUUAGAAUUAUGGGAUCCACUCCAGUAGUCCCAGAAGUUCCCAAAGCCAGAACCUACAACAUGACUAUGAGGGAUGCAGUUCAGGAUGCAGAUGUGGUGGCAGGUACGCUUACUGUGAAUUCUUUAUGUGCCAAGGUUUUGAUUGAUUCUGGAGCUACUAGAUCGUUUAUUUCUGAGGAUUUUGUGCCUAAGUUGAAUUGUCCUAUAGAAUUGCUUAAUGAGGUUAUGAAUAUAGAGUUGGCUAAUCAGGAACGUGUCCCUGUUAGCCAAGUUUAUAGGAAUUGUGAAGUUGAGAUCUUAGGAAAUAAGUUUUGUGCCGACUUGAUACCUUUCAAGUUGGGAGAGUUUGAUGUUAUUUUAGGGAUGGAUUGGUUAUCGAAGCAUAACGCUCAAAUAGAUUGUUGUAAUAAGAAGGUAAUGUUAAGAGCACCGAAUGAGAAGACGGUAGUAUUUCGAGGGCAGAAACAGGUAAAGAAGUUUUUGACUAUGAUUCAAACGAAGAGAUUGUUGCGUCAAGGUUGUGAAGCUUAUAUAGCAUAUGUAACUGAUCAGAGUCGAGAGCUUGUGAAGCUUGAAGAUAUUCCUGUAGUAAACGAGUUCUCAGAUGUAUUUCCAGAUGAGUUACCCGGAUUACCUCCAGAUAGAGAAAUUGAAUUUGCAAUAGAUUUAGCACCUGGAACCGAACCAGUAUCUAAAGCCCCAUAUAGAAUGGCACCAGUAGAAAUGAAAGAAUUGGCAACCCAGUUACAAGAUUUGUUAGAGAAGGGAGUGAUUAGACCCAGUGUAUCCCCGUGGGGAGCACCAGUGUUGUUUGUGAAGAAGAAGGAUGGUAGUAUGAGGUUAUGUAUUGAUUACCGGGAACUUAAUAAGUUAACCAUUAAGAAUAGAUACCCAUUACCCCGUAUAGAUGAUUUGUUUGAUCAAUUGAAGGGAGCGAGAUGUUUUUCGAAGAUUGAUUUAAGAUCGGGAUACCAUCAGCUAAAGAUUAAACAAGAAGAUAUACCUAAAACAGCUUUUAGAACCCGAUAUGGUCACUAUGAGUUCUUAGUAAUGGCCUUUGGAUUAACCAAUGCCCCCGCAGCUUUUAUGGAUUUAAUGAACAGAGUCUUUAAACCAUAUUUGGAUAAAUUUGUGAUUGUAUUCAUAGAUGAUAUUUUGAUUUAUUCCAAAACCACUGAGGAUCAUGCAACCCACUUAAGGAUGGCUUUAGAGACAUUGAGAAGAGAGAAACUAUAUGCUAAGUUUUCAAAGUGUGAAUUCUGGUUACAAGAGGUUCAAUUUCUAGGUCAUAUAGUCAGUAAUGAAGGAAUCAAAGUAGAUCCCUCCAAGAUUGAGGCAAUUAUGAAUUGGGAAAGGCCAAGGACACCAACAGAAGUUAGAAGUUUCUUGGGUUUGGCAGGUUAUUAUAGAAGAUUUGUUCAAGAUUUCUCAAGGAUUGCUGUACCAAUGACGAGGCUUACCCGGAAAGAAGAAAAGUUCGUGUGGACUGAAAAGUGUGAAGAAAGUUUCCAAGAAUUAAAGAAAAGGUUAGUAUCAGCCCCAGUGUUAUCACUUCCAGAUGAGCAAGGGAAUUUUGUAAUUUAUAGUGAUGCUUCUCAUAAGGGAUUGGGUUGUGUGUUGAUGCAACAUGACAAAGUCAUUGCUUAUGCAUCCAGACAACUCAAACCCCAUGAGCAGAAGUAUCCUACACAUGAUUUAGAACUAGCAGCCAUAGUGUUUGCAUUGAAGAUUUGGAGACAUUAUUUAUAUGGAGAAAAGUGUGAAAUCUACACCGAUCAUAAGAGUCUGAAGUAUAUCUUUACACAGAAGGAGCUUAAUAUGAGGCAGAGAAGGUGGUUAGAAUUGAUAAAGGAUUAUGAUUGCACCAUCAAUUAUCACCCUGGAAAGGCCAAUGUAGUGGCAGAUGCUUUGAGCAGGAAAGAAAGACUGAAUGUGUUGACGUUACCUAAGGAAAUAUAUAGAGAAUUCGAAAAGCUGGAAAUAGAAGUUAGAGUGAGUGAACCCUCAGAAGCUGGAUUAUAUACAAUGAUUUUUCAACCAGAGUUACUAGAAAAGAUAAGGAAAUGUCAAGAGACCGUAAUGGAACAGGAUGUUAAUAAUUUAGUUGGGGAAGAACUUUGUACCCAGAAAGAUGAACAAGGUAUUCUAAGAUUUUCUUCUAGAAUAUGGAUUCCACCAGUACAGGAGUUGAAAGAUGAAGUUUUAAGUGAAGCACAUAGUUCCGUUUAUUCAAUUCACCCGGGGAGCACUAAGAUGUAUAGAGAUUUGAAGGAGAAUUAUUGGUGGCCAAAUAUGAAGAGAGAGAUUGCAGAGUGGGUAAAUAAAUGUUAUACGUGUCAAAGAGUGAAGGCAGAACACCAGCGACCGAGUGGAUUGUUACAACCCCUAGAAAUUCCAGAAUGGAAAUGGGAGCAUAUUGCGAUGGAUUUUAUAGUUGGAUUACCUAGAACGAGGGCAAAUCACGAUGCCAUAUGGGUUAUUGUAGAUAGACUAACUAAGUCAGCUCAUUUCCUUCCCAUUAACGAAAGAUUCUCAUUAGACAAGUUAGUCCAUAUGUAUCUGAAGGAGAUCGUCGUUCGUCACGGAGUUCCAGUCUCCAUUGUAUCCGAUCGAGAUCCACGAUUCAACUCGAGAUUCUGGAAGAGCUUUCAGGAAUGCUUGGGCACCAGAUUGAAUAUGAGCACUGCUUAUCAUCCACAAACUGAUGGUCAGAGUGAAAGGACUAUUCAAACAAUCGAGGAUAUGCUACGUGUCUGUGCUAUUGAUUUCAAAGGCAAUUGGGAUGAACAUCUACCGUUAGUGGAAUUCUCAUACAACAACAGUUAUCAUGCAAGCAUCGGAAUGCCUCCUUAUGAAGCUCUUUAUGGACGUAAAUGUCGUUCACCCGUAUGUUGGGAUGAAGUAGGAGAACGCAAAAUACUUGGGCCAGAGUUAGUCCAGCAGACGAAGGAAGUUACUGAAACCAUUCAAAGAAGAUUAAUUGCAGCGCAGAAUCGUCAGAGAAAGUACGCGGAUCAAGCCAGAAAGGAUAUGGAAUUUGAAGAAGGAGAACCUGCAUUACUGAAGAUUUCGCCAUGGAAAGGACUAUCCCGAUUUGGCAAGAAAGGAAAGCUAAGUCCCAGAUACGUCGGACCAUUCGAGAUCUUGAGGCGCGUUGGUAAAGUGGCUUACGAAUUAGCGUUACCCCCACAUAUGGAGCAUAUUCAUAAUGUCAUUCAUGUGUCAAUGCUUAAGAAGUAUCAUCCAGAUUCUAGGCAUGUGAUAGAAUACGAGCCAGUGGAAUUACAGGCAGAUUUGUCUUAUGUUGAGAGUCCAAUAGAGAUUCUAGAUAGAAAAGAGAAAGUAUUGAGAAACAAAGUGGUGAAAAUAGUGAGAGUAUUGUGGAGAAACCCAAAAGUUGAAGAGUCAACUUGGGAGUUAGAAAGUGAUAUGUGUGAGAAAUAUCCUCACUUGUUUUCUUAGCAGAUUCUGAGGACAGAAUCCUUUUAAGGGGGGAAGGAUGUAAUAUCCGGGAUUUCGACAUGUAUUUAUUUAUGCCAGUAUGCGAAUAUUUUGUGAAUAUUAUGUGAAUUAAUUGUGAAUUAUAUGUUAAGUGACUUGCUGUAUGAUCGUCUAUGUGUGUUAUGACUUGUGAGUUGAUAAUUUUUAUAUGAUCAGAUCAAAAUAUGGAGAAUUUAGGCACUCAUUUGGCAAAUUAUGGAUUAUUAUAUGAUUUGAUAUUUGAUUUAAGGAUUUAAUUAAGUAUAUUAUAAAAUAUUAUUAUUAAAUUGAUUUUAAACCCGUUUACUCGAUAAUUAAACCCCGGGGGGCUUCCGGGAAAGUUUCGCCGGUUUGUUAUUCGAGAUAUUCUGAACAACUUUCGUGUUUUAACUUUUCCCAUCUGGUGUACGGAUUUACGUGAAAGAUUUUCGGAACGAUUUUAUGAAUAUUUUAUUAUUAUUUUACCGUAUCGAUAAACGUGUACGCCGGAUAUUUUUAACCCCAAAUUAUUUUGGCUAAAGCAUUAUACUCUCGUAGUUCGCGCCAAUCAAAGCUCGGAGCCCCAUAAGUUUCUCGUAAUGUGUGUAUUUGAUAUUUAUCUUUAAAGUCGGUUCCGAACGGAUCAGUUUUAUUAAUAUUUAAUGAUUAAGAAGUGUAUUUUAUGUCCGGUAUGAUCCAAAUGGGGGCCAGUUAUUCGUAAUUAUAAAUAGGAUAAUUACUAUUUUAUUUUUCAUAAUUAUCAUUUCAAUACACGAGAAUCGAGAGAAACUAGUUAUUCGUUCUUCGCGUUCUUGAAGUUCAAUCGAAGGUUUGAAGGCGUUAUCGAUCUCAGAAUCAAGCAUACAAGUAGUCCAAACGAAGGUAUCGACGCGUAGAAUCCAUAUCAAGUCUCAAAAACAGGUAGAGAUUCACCGUUGGGGAGUAAUUUGAGUUUGAAAUUUCGUAUGAAUUAGGGUUUAAUUAGGGCUUUUUGAUUUUGAUGUGGUUUAUGUGAUUUUAUGCUUCCAUGUUGUAGAUAAUCUUCUCCUGAUCAUUUUGGUAUAUCAUAUGCAUGAUUUGGAGUUCAAUAACAUGUUCAAAAUUGAGUUUAAUUGUUCGAAUUAGAAAUUAGGGUUUAUAGCCGUUUGAAUGUUUUCAAUUGAAAAUUAGGGCUUUUUAAUCCAGGAGGUAGAAGUGAAAUUGGAUGAUACCAUCAUGUUUAUCAUGUUCCCAGGAGUGUGUACAUGCCUUCAAAUGUUAUCAGAGGUUCCAGAAUCGGCCGAAUCGACGAGAAGAAGUUUCGCCGGCGACGGCGAACUUCCUCGAGUUUUUCCGGCCAAUUCACGAACCUCCAGCUCGAUUUGAUGAUUGAUAUAGAUUCCUGGUGAGUUGUAGAUGUUAUCUGCACCUUGGGGUGGCCGUCUACGGCCUGGAACGCCGUCUCCGGCGUCGGGACGGCGAGAACUGUAAAAAUUACAGUUCAGCCCCCUGACGUUUGGAGAUGGUGAAAAUCAGACCUUGAACUUUCCAAUUUUUGCAAUUUAGUCCCCCCUGAAGUUUUGAAAACUUGCAAAUCAAACCCUGGAGUUUCAGAUUUCUAAAAUCAGUUUUAUUUAAUUAUUUUUAAUUUCGAAAAUCAUUUAUUUAAUUUUCAAAAAUAGAUUUUAAUUAUUUCUUUAUUCAAAAACAAAUCUAAAUUAAUUUAUUAAUUAACUUUAAUUAGUAAUUAAUUAUUAUAAUUAGUCAAUUAAUUUGAAUAUUAAUUGAUUAAUUGUUUUAAUUAUUUAUUAAUUGAUUUUAAUUGAUUUAUUAAUUAGAUUUAAUUGUUUUAAAUGUUUUUAAAAAUCCAGAAAAAUAGUUUCAAGCUUUAGAAAAUUAUUCAAAAAUAUGUUGAAGGUUCGUUAAUUGAUUUCAAAUGAUUUCGAACCUUAUUUCGAGUAUUCGGACUUGUUUAUUCAGUUAUAAAUUGAUUCUUUUACCCGUUUUUAUUCCGAAAAAUGUUUGAAAAUUCAUAAUAAAUACCAGAAAAAUCAUUUCAACCUCAAACCUUUUCUGAAAAGCUAUUUCAUUGAUUCUCUUAUGUGUUAGGUGCUAUGUGUUACUUGAUUGAGAUGUGAAAUGCUUAUGUGAACGUUAUAUGACUGUUUUAAUCGUAUCUUUUGAACCGUAAGUCGGAUUUAAGUGAAACGAAGGGUAGAUAGAAGCUUGUUUCGAUUAUGAAACAAAUAGGAUGACAUGAGAAUGAAUAUUGAUAGAUGAAUAUUCUGAUUAUCAGAGAAGGACAGGCUUAGAAAAGGAAAGCAGGUAGUGUUGGAGUGAUUCUGUUAGUGAAAGCUAUAGAGAGAAGUAAAGCUUCUGAAUAAGGCAAGUGCUCUAUUCUCAACUUGUACUUCUGUAAACUCCUUGAGUUACUGUUCUGCAUAUAAUGUCGUUGUUCUGGAUAGAUUUAAAAAUGCAUCUGUUGAUAUAUUGUGCUAUUGAUCCUGAUUAUUGAUAAACCUUAUUCAACCCUCUUGACACCUGAAUUACAAACUUAACCUUGACUUUGGUUUCAAUGGAACUUGUACCCAUUUCUUUGAGACUUGGAAACACAAAUCAUUCACUUUGAUAUUCUUUCAUCCUUGCAUGACCAACCAGUACAAGCCUAUAUGUUACAAUACUUCACCAAAUUAUACAAUGUCUUAACAAACACCUAUAUUACUCUUUUGGAAGAAGGUUCACACGUAUACACCCUAACACUUGAAAUUCCUACAAGUUAAACAUAUUUGAAACCUCAAGCUAUUCUCACUUACAUUUUUCUCUCUACAAAACCUCAGAUUAGCUUCACCAUAUAUUUGAUCUUUCUUCCAACCUCAAGACAUUCUUCAAACAUAUGAUGAGGAUACUUAAACCUACUUCUGAAUUAUCCUUUGAUCCUGAUAUGUAUUGCUCCACUAAUUAUCAUGAUUCUGAUUUGAAGAUUUUGAUUCUGUUUGAUAAUAUUGCUUCUGUUCAAAUGGUAUUGAUUCUGAUUUAUUGAGAUAUUGUUGAUUUCAUUAUAUUGUUAAAGAAUUGGAUUGUUUUGUAAGUGUGGACCAGAUUCGUGGUCGUUAGGCCAAUGCGUGCCUUGGAUCCAGUGAUAGAGCUUGGUAUGUACCUGGCUCGGGGUUAGUGCGUGACUGAUCAGCAGCCUAACCUUGGUUUUAAAUAAAAAUAUGAAUAUCCAAUUCUUAGCACUGCUUUAAAAGAGAUUUGAUAUCCUGAUUCAUUUUUAUUGAUAAUUGUUGAACUUCAGUUUAUGGUUUAUAUUGCUUGCUGAGCUGUAAGCUCACUCUUGCGAUUCCUUAUGUUCUUUUCCAGUGAAGAAAGAGACUACUGUUAGCGAGGACCCACAGGCUAGCCAUCAAGCUAAGGUAUCAGGAUGAGUGUUGGGAAGCCUUGCUAGGAGUUGCUGAUAGUAUAAACUUUUGAGUAUCGUUGUGUGUAAGCACUACGUUUUAUGUUUAUAAGUUGUAAGAUGAUAAUUGGGAUUCGAGGUAUUGUAAUAUAACUUAAGUUGUGGCUUGUUUCAUACUAUAACCUGAAGCGAUCCGUGGAUGUUUAGGGUCAAUGCAUAUAUUAUUAUGGUUUACAGGUUUAUAUUGUUGUGUGUGACCCCCAGGUCUAUGACCCGGAUUUGGAGGGUGUCACAGGUUGGUAUCAGAGCUACAGGUUAUGAGUCAAUGAAACAAGCCUAGAUUGUCGGGUUUGGGUAGAGGGAUUAAGAUUAGAAAUGAGUGAUAGGUAGAUAGAACGUUGAGAGGUGAGUAAUGGUGACUAACAGGUAUUCUUAUUAUCAGAGAUUCUUAUGUAUGCGUUAUCUCAUGACUUUCAGAUAUUCACGAUGUCAGACCCUAUCAUUCCUCCAUAUCCCCAGUAUUCAGAGACUACAGUUAACGGACCCCCACCCUCUCAGAGACUUGAGCCUCACCCUCCUGUUUCACCCCCUUUAGAGGAUGUGUUGGCUGCAGCAGCAGUGGUUCCUCCCAGGGAUAUACCCUCGACUUCUUCUGCACCACCCCUUGUUCCUUAUCAUGAGUUUGAGGCGAUGAGUAUGGAGUGUCAGUAUCUACUCGGACAGGUUAGAGAGCUGGAGCGUAUCAUACAGAUGACGGACACUGGGAGAGCUGAGCGAGCGCUGAGGUAUGAGAUUGUAGAUGUUAGGAUGAUGGCGAGGGCGAAGCUUGGUGCCAUAGCUGAAGAUCAGAGUACCUACAGUGAUUUAGUGGAGUGGGCCAUAUGGAUGAUGAAGGAGUUGGAUAAGCUUGGAGGUCCUACUUUUCCUUGGAGUUAGACGGUGGUAGUUACAGAGUGGAGGUACCAUGUAUAUUAGUGUGUAGUGUGUAGUGUGUGGUGGUAGGGUAGUGUCAGCCGAUUUUGACCUGAUAUAGACUAAGAUGUGCUGACCAGUGUGUAGGUUGCUGUUGUGUUUUACUUUUGACAAGCGCUUGCGCUGAUGUACCCCCAGCUCUUUAUAUAUAUUAGAACUUUUCUUUUUCAUACUGUCCUUUUACUUUAUUGCACCCGUUUUACUUACUUUACAUAUUACACUUGUUUUACAUACUGCACUUCAUAUAAACCCUGUGAUAUCAUUAUACCCUGUUUCUUUCAUUAUUGCUCUGUUCUGUGAAGAAGCAUGCGAUUUAUUUAAUUCAAUGAUCAAAAAUGUUUUCAAAAAGAAAUAUUCUGUUUUUCUAAAAACAAUUGCUAAAAGUUUUGAAGGUUAAAUAAACUGCUUGUUUCUUUACAGAGCUAUGCCUCCUAGAAGACAAACCCGUGCAACCAACCCUGAUGACAACAACAAUAACAAUAAUCCAGAACCUACAAUGGCCCAGAUUCUUCAGAUCUUGGCCCAACAGACUGCCAACCUGACUCAGCAGCAGGAAAGGCAGGCUAAUCCCCAGGUUACUUUCAAAAACUUUCAGUCUGUUAAUCCCCCAGAGUUUAAGGGUUCAGCGGACCCUAUUGAGGCUAGGAUAUGGUUGAAGGAAAUUGAAAAGGCAUUUAUGUUAGUUAAAGUGAGAGAUGAGCAGAAGACUGAGUUUGCUAGUUAUUAUUUGAAGGAGGAGGCCACCUAUUGGUGGGAGUCUGUGAGAGCAAUGGAAGGGACAGAGGAUGUUACUUGGGAUAGGUUUAAGGAGUUGUUUUUGGAGAAAUACUUUCCUCAAUUUCUCCAGGAUCGAAUGGAGUUACAGUUUUUAGAAUUGAAGCAAGGGGAUAUGUCAGUGGCUGAGUAUGAGAAAAAGUUUGCUGAGUUGGCUAGGUUUGUUCCAACCUAUGUAGAUACUGAUAGGAAGAGAGCUAAGAGAUUCCAACAGGGUUUAAAGGCAUGGAUCAGGGGAAAGCUAGCCAUAUUGGAAUUAGAUACUUAUGCGGCUGUUGUUCAGAAGGCAAUGAUAGCGGAAACGGAAAGCGAAAUGUCUCAGAAGGAGAAAGAGGGAAAGAAGCGUAAGCCAGAGCAUCAUGAGGGACAGUUUCAGCAGGGAAGGUUUCAGAACUUUAACCCGAAGAAAGGGAAAUUUCAGCAGGGGAGAAAUCCCACUUUUAAGAAGCCAGAUGUAGGUGGUAGUGGACAAGGUAACCGUCCAGCUAUUGGAAAUCAACCAAGGCCUCCACUGCCGGAGUGCCAGAUAUGUGGAAAGAGACACGGGGGAAUCUGUAAUAGAUUGAAUGUGGUGUGUUAUAAGUGUAAUCAGAAGGGACACUAUUCUAGGGAAUGUCAGAACCCACCAGCACGGACCCCAAUGAUUCGAGAUCAACCAGCAAGGAACCAACCCAAUAGGACUCCAGCAGCUGGGAUAACAUGUUUUAGGUGUGGAAAACCAGGACACAUGGUGAAGGAUUGCAAGGUACCAGCUCCAAGUAACCCUACACUUAGAAUUAUGGGAUCCACUCCAGUAGUCCCAGAAGUUCCCAAAGCCAGAACCUACAACAUGACUAUGAGGGAUGCAGUUCAGGAUGCAGAUGUGGUGGCAGGUACGCUUACUGUGAAUUCUUUAUGUGCUAAGGUUUUGAUUGAUUCUGGAGCUACUAGAUCGUUUAUUUCUGAGGAUUUUGUGCCUAAGUUGAAUUGUCCUAUAGAAUUGCUUAAUGAGGUUAUGAAUAUAGAGUUGGCUAAUCAGGAACGUGUCCCUGUUAGCCAAGUUUAUAGGAAUUGUGAAGUUGAGAUCUUAGGAAAUAAGUUUUGUGCCGACUUGAUACCUUUCAAGUUGGGAGAGUUUGAUGUUAUUUUAGGGAUGGAUUGGUUAUCGAAGCAUAAUGCUCAGAUAGAUUGUCGUAGUAAAAAGGUGAUGUUAAAAACACCGAAUGAGAAGACGAUAGUAUUUCGAGGGCAGAAACAGGUAAAGAAGUUUUUGACUAUGAUUCAAACGAAGAGAUUGUUGCGUCAAGGUUGUGAAGCUUAUAUAGCAUAUGUAACUGAUCAGAGUCGAGAACUUGUGAAGCUUGAAGAUAUUCCUGUAGUAAACGAGUUUCCAGAUGUAUUUCCAGAUGAGUUACCCGGAUUACCUCCAGAUAGAGAAAUUGAAUUUGCAAUAGAUUUAGCACCUGGAACCGAACCAGUAUCUAAAGCCCCAUAUAGAAUGGCACCAGUAGAAAUGAAAGAAUUGGCAACCCAGUUACAAGAUUUGUUAGAGAAGGGAGUGAUUAGACCCAGUGUAUCCCCGUGGGGAGCACCAGUGUUGUUUGUGAAGAAGAAGGAUGGUAGUAUGAGGUUAUGUAUUGAUUACCGGGAACUUAAUAAGUUAACUAUUAAGAAUAGAUACCCAUUACCCCGUAUAGAUGAUUUGUUUGAUCAAUUGAAGGGAGCGAGAUGUUUUUCGAAGAUUGAUUUAAGAUCGGGAUACCAUCAGCUAAAGAUUAAACAAGAAGAUAUACCUAAAACAGCUUUUAGAACCCGAUAUGGCCACUAUGAGUUUUUAGUGAUGGCCUUUGGAUUAACCAAUGCCCCCGCAGCUUUUAUGGAUUUAAUGAACAGAGUCUUUAAACCAUAUUUGGAUAAAUUUGUGAUUGUAUUCAUAGAUGAUAUUUUGAUUUAUUCCAAAACCACUGAGGAUCAUGCAACCCACUUAAGGAUGGCUUUAGAGACAUUGAGAAGAGAGAAGCUGUAUGCUAAGUUUUCAAAGUGUGAAUUCUGGUUACAAGAGGUUCAAUUUCUAGGUCAUAUAGUCAGUAAAGAAGGAAUUAAAGUAGAUCCCUCCAAGAUUGAGGCAAUUAUGAAUUGGGAAAGGCCAAGGACACCAACAGAAGUCAGAAGUUUCUUGGGUUUGGCAGGUUAUUAUAGAAGAUUUGUUCAAGAUUUCUCAAGGAUUGCUGUACCAAUGACGAGGCUUACCCGGAAAGAAGAAAAGUUCGUGUGGACUGAAAAGUGUGAAGAAAGUUUCCAAGAAUUAAAGAAAAGGUUAGUAUCAGCCCCAGUGUUAUCACUUCCAGAUGAGCAAGGGAAUUUUGUAAUUUAUAGUGAUGCUUCUCAUAAGGGAUUGGGUUGUGUGUUGAUGCAACAUGACAAAGUCAUUGCUUAUGCAUCCAGACAACUCAAACCCCAUGAGCAGAAGUAUCCUACACAUGAUUUAGAACUAGCAGCCAUAGUGUUUGCAUUGAAGAUUUGGAGACAUUAUUUAUAUGGAGAAAAGUGUGAAAUCUACACCGAUCAUAAGAGUCUGAAGUAUAUCUUUACACAGAAGGAGCUUAAUAUGAGGCAGAGAAGGUGGUUAGAAUUGAUAAAGGAUUAUGAUUGCACCAUCAAUUAUCACCCUGGAAAGGCAAAUGUAGUGGCAGAUGCUUUGAGCAGGAAAGAAAGACUGAAUGUGUUGACGUUACCUAAGGAAAUAUAUAGAGAAUUCGAAAAGCUGGAAAUAGAAGUUAGAGUGAGUGAACCCUCAGAAGCUGGAUUAUAUACAAUGAUUUUUCAACCAGAGUUACUAGAAAAGAUAAGGAAAUGUCAAGAGACCGUAAUGGAACAGGAUGUUAAUAAUUUAGUUGGGGAAGAACUUUGUACCCAGAAAGAUGAGCAAGGUAUUCUAAGAUUUUCUUCUAGAAUAUGGAUUCCACCAGUACAGGAGUUGAAAGAUGAAGUUUUAAGUGAAGCACAUAGUUCCGCUUAUUCAAUUCACCCCGGGAGCACUAAAAUGUAUAGAGAUUUGAAGGAGAAUUAUUGGUGGCCAGAUAUGAAGAGAGAGAUUGCAGAGUGGGUAAAUAAAUGUUAUACGUGUCAAAGAGUGAAGGCAGAACACCAGCGACCGAGUGGAUUGUUACAACCCCUAGAAAUUCCAGAAUGGAAAUGGGAGCAUAUUGCGAUGGAUUUUAUAGUUGGAUUACCUAGAACGAGGGCAAAUCACGAUGCCAUAUGGGUUAUUGUAGAUAGACUAACUAAGUCAGCUCAUUUCCUUCCCAUUAACGAAAGAUUCUCAUUAGACAAGUUAGUCCAUAUGUAUCUGAAGGAGAUCGUCGUUCGUCACGGAGUUCCAGUCUCCAUUGUAUCCGAUCGAGAUCCACGAUUCAACUCGAGAUUCUGGAAGAGCUUUCAGGAAUGCUUGGGCACCAGAUUGAAUAUGAGCACUGCUUAUCAUCCACAAACUGAUGGUCAGAGUGAAAGGACUAUUCAAACAAUCGAGGAUAUGCUACGUGUCUGUGCUAUUGAUUUCAAAGGCAAUUGGGAUGAACAUCUACCGUUAGUGGAAUUCUCAUACAACAACAGUUAUCAUGCAAGCAUCGGAAUGCCUCCUUAUGAAGCUCUUUAUGGACGUAAAUGUCGCUCACCCGUAUGUUGGGAUGAAGUAGGAGAACGCAAACUACUUGGGCCAGAACUAGUUCAGCAGACGAAGGAAGUGAUUGAAACCAUUCAAAGAAGACUGAUUGCAGCACAGAAUCGUCAGAGAAAGUACGCGGAUCAAGCCAGGAAGGAUAUGGAAUUUGAAGAAGGAGAACCUGUAUUACUGAAGAUUUCGCCAUGGAAAGGACUAUCCCGAUUUGGCAAGAAAGGAAAGCUAAGUCCCAGAUACGUCGGACCAUUCGAGAUCUUGAGGCGCGUUGGUAAAGUGGCUUAUGAGUUAGCGUUACCCCCACAUAUGGAGCAUAUUCAUAACGUCUUUCAUGUGUCAAUGCUUAAGAAGUAUCAUCCAGAUUCUAGGCAUGUGAUAGAAUACGAGCCAGUAGAGCUUCAGGCAGAUUUGUCUUAUGUUGAGAAUCCAAUAGAGAUUCUAGAUAGGAAGGAGAAAGUGUUAAGGAAUAAAGUGGUGAAAAUAGUGAGAGUAUUGUGGAGAAACCCAAAAGUUGAAGAAUCAACUUGGGAGUUAGAAAGUGAUAUGUGUGAGAAAUAUCCUCACUUGUUUUCUUAGCAGAUUCUGAGGACAGAAUCCUUUUAAGGGGGGAAGGAUGUAAUAUCCGGGAUUUCGACAUGUAUUUAUUUAUGCCAGUAUGCGAAUAUUUUGUGAAUAUUAUGUGAAUUAAUUGUGAAUUAUAUGUUAAGUGACUUGUUGAAUGAUCGUUUAUGUAUGUUAUGACUUGUGAAAUUAUAAUUUUUAUAUGAUCAGAUCAAAAUAUGGAGAAUUUAGGCACUCAUUUGGUAGAUUAUGGAUUAUUAUAUGAUUUGAUAUUUGAUUUAAGGAUUAAUUAAGUAUAUUAUAAAAUAUUAUUAUUAAAUUGAUUUUAAACCCGUUUACUCGAUAAUUAAACCCCGGGGGGCUUCCGGGAAAAUUUCGCUGGUUUGUUAUUUGAGACAUUCUGAACCAUUUUCGUGUUUUAACUUUUCCCAUCUGGUGUACGGAUUUACGUGAAAGAUUUUCGGAACGAUUUUAUGAAUAUUUUAUUGUUAUUUUACCGUAUCGAUAAACGUGUACGCCGGAUAUUUGUAACCCCAAAUUAUUUUGGCUAAAGCAUUAUACUCUCGUAGUUCGCGCCAAUCAAAGCUCGGAGCCCCAUAAGUUUCUCGUAAUGUGUGUAUUUGAUAUUUAUCUUUAAAGUCGGUUCCGAACGGAUCAGUUUUAUUAAUAUUUAAUGAUUAAGAAGUGUAUUUUAUGUCCGGUAUGAUCCAAAUGGGGGCCAGUUAUUCGUAAUUAUAAAUAGGAUAAUUACUAUUUUAUUUUUCAUAAUUAUCAUUUCAAUACACGAGAAUCGAGAGAAACUAGUUAUUCGUUCUUCGCGUUCUUGAAGUUCAAUCGAAGGUUUGAAGGCGUUAUCGAUCUCAGAAUCAAGCAUACAAGUAGUCCAAACGAAGGUAUCGACGCGUAGAAUCCAUAUCAAGUCUCAAAAACAGGUAGAGAUUCACCGUUGGGGAGUAAUUUGAGUUUGAAAUUUCGUAUGAAUUAGGGUUUAAUUAGGGCUUUUUGAUUUUGAUGUGGUUUAUGUGAUUUUAUGCUUCCAUGUUGUAGAUAAUCUUCUCCUGAUCAUUUUGGUAUAUCAUAUGUAUGAUUUGGAGUUCAAUAACAUGUUCAAAAUUGAGUUUAAUCAUUCGAAUUAGGGUUAGGGUUCUUGAGCCGAAGAACAGAUUCAAUUGAAAAUUAGGGCUUUUUAAUCCAGGAGGUAGAAGUGAAAUUGAAUGAUACCAUCAUGUUUAUCAUGUUCCCAGGAGUGUGUACAUGCCUUCAAAUGUUAUCAGAGGUUCCAGAAUCGGCCGAAUCGACGAGAAGAAGUUUCGCCGGCGACGGCGAACUUCCUCGAGUUUUUCCGGCCAAUUCACGAACCUCCAGCUCGAUUUGAUGAUUGAUAUAGAUUCCUGGUGAGUUGUAGAUGUUAUCUGCACCUUGGGGUGGCCGUCUACGGCCUGGAACGCCGUCUCCGGCGUCGGGACGGCGAGAACUGUAAAAAUUACAGUUCAGCCCCCUGACGUUUGGAGAUGGUGAAAAUCAGACCUUGAACUUUCCAAUUUUUGCAAUUUAGUCCCCCCUGAAGUUUUGAAAACUUGCAAAUCAAACCCUGGAGUUUCAGAUUUCUAAAAUCAGUUUUAUUUAAUUAUUUUUAAUUUCGAAAAUCAUUUAUUUAAUUUUCAAAAAUAGAUUUUAAUUAUUUCUUUAUUCAAAAACAAAUCUAAAUUAAUUUAUUAAUUAACUUUAAUUAGUAAUUAAUUAUUAUAAUUAGUCAAUUAAUUUGAAUAUUAAUUGAUUAAUUGUUUUAAUUAUUUAUUAAUUGAUUUUAAUUGAUUUAUUAAUUAGAUUUAAUUGUUUUAAAUGUUUUUAAAAAUCCAGAAAAAUAGUUUCAAGCUUUAGAAAAUUAUUCAAAAAUAUGUUGAAGGUUCGUUAAUUGAUUUCAAAUGAUUUCGAACCUUAUUUCGAGUAUUCGGACUUGUUUAUUCAGUUAUAAAUUGAUUCUUUUACCCGUUUUUAUUCCGAAAAAUGUUUGAAAAUUCAUAAUAAAUACCAGAAAAAUCAUUUCAACCUCAAACCUUUUCUGAAAAGCUAUUUCAUUGAUUCUCUUAUGUGUUAGGUGCUAUGUGUUACUUGAUUGAGAUGUGAAAUGCUUAUGUGAACGUUAUAUGACUGUUUUAAUCGUAUCUUUUGAACCGUAAGUCGGAUUUAAGUGAAACGAAGGGUAGAUAGAAGCUUGUUUCGAUUAUGAAACAAAUAGGAUGACAUGAGAAUGAAUAUUGAUAGAUGAAUAUUCUGAUUAUCAGAGAAGGACAGGCUUAGAAAAGGAAAGCAGGUAGUGUUGGAGUGAUUCUGUUAGUGAAAGCUAUAGAGAGAAGUAAAGCUUCUGAAUAAGGCAAGUGCUCUAUUCUCAACUUGUACUUCUGUAAACUCCUUGAGUUACUGUUCUGCAUAUAAUGUCGUUGUUCUGGAUAGAUUUAAAAAUGCAUCUGUUGAUAUAUUGUGCUAUUGAUCCUGAUUAUUGAUAAACCUUAUUCAACCCUCUUGACACCUGAAUUACAAACUUAACCUUGACUUUGGUUUCAAUGGAACUUGUACCCAUUUCUUUGAGACUUGGAAACACAAAUCAUUCACUUUGAUAUUCUUUCAUCCUUGCAUGACCAACCAGUACAAGCCUAUAUGUUACAAUACUUCACCAAAUUAUACAAUGUCUUAACAAACACCUAUAUUACUCUUUUGGAAGAAGGUUCACACGUAUACACCCUAACACUUGAAAUUCCUACAAGUUAAACAUAUUUGAAACCUCAAGCUAUUCUCACUUACAUUUUUCUCUCUACAAAACCUCAGAUUAGCUUCACCAUAUAUUUGAUCUUUCUUCCAACCUCAAGACAUUCUUCAAACAUAUGAUGAGGAUACUUAAACCUACUUCUGAAUUAUCCUUUGAUCCUGAUAUGUAUUGCUCCACUAAUUAUCAUGAUUCUGAUUUGAAGAUUUUGAUUCUGUUUGAUAAUAUUGCUUCUGUUCAAAUGGUAUUGAUUCUGAUUUAUUGAGAUAUUGUUGAUUUCAUUAUAUUGUUAAAGAAUUGGAUUGUUUUGUAAGUGUGGACCAGAUUCGUGGUCGUUAGGCCAAUGCGUGCCUUGGAUCCAGUGAUAGAGCUUGGUAUGUACCUGGCUCGGGGUUAGUGCGUGACUGAUCAGCAGCCUAACCUUGGUUUUAAAUAAAAAUAUGAAUAUCCAAUUCUUAGCACUGCUUUAAAAGAGAUUUGAUAUCCUGAUUCAUUUUUAUUGAUAAUUGUUGAACUUCAGUUUAUGGUUUAUAUUGCUUGCUGAGCUGUAAGCUCACUCUUGCGAUUCCUUAUGUUCUUUUCCAGUGAAGAAAGAGACUACUGUUAGCGAGGACCCACAGGCUAGCCAUCAAGCUAAGGUAUCAGGAUGAGUGUUGGGAAGCCUUGCUAGGAGUUGCUGAUAGUAUAAACUUUUGAGUAUCGUUGUGUGUAAGCACUACGUUUUAUGUUUAUAAGUUGUAAGAUGAUAAUUGGGAUUCGAGGUAUUGUAAUAUAACUUAAGUUGUGGCUUGUUUCAUACUAUAACCUGAAGCGAUCCGUGGAUGUUUAGGGUCAAUGCAUAUAUUAUUAUGGUUUACAGGUUUAUAUUGUUGUGUGUGACCCCCAGGUCUAUGACCCGGAUUUGGAGGGUGUCACAGGUUGGUAUCAGAGCUACAGGUUAUGAGUCAAUGAAACAAGCCUAGAUUGUCGGGUUUGGGUAGAGGGAUUAAGAUUAGAAAUGAGUGAUAGGUAGAUAGAACGUUGAGAGGUGAGUAAUGGUGACUAACAGGUAUUCUUAUUAUCAGAGAUUCUUAUGUAUGCGUUAUCUCAUGACUUUCAGAUAUUCACGAUGUCAGACCCUAUCAUUCCUCCAUAUCCCCAGUAUUCAGAGACUACAGUUAACGGACCCCCACCCUCUCAGAGACUUGAGCCUCACCCUCCUGUUUCACCCCCUUUAGAGGAUGUGUUGGCUGCAGCAGCAGUGGUUCCUCCCAGGGAUAUACCCUCGACUUCUUCUGCACCACCCCUUGUUCCUUAUCAUGAGUUUGAGGCGAUGAGUAUGGAGUGUCAGUAUCUACUCGGACAGGUUAGAGAGCUGGAGCGUAUCAUACAGAUGACGGACACUGGGAGAGCUGAGCGAGCGCUGAGGUAUGAGAUUGUAGAUGUUAGGAUGAUGGCGAGGGCGAAGCUUGGUGCCAUAGCUGAAGAUCAGAGUACCUACAGUGAUUUAGUGGAGUGGGCCAUAUGGAUGAUGAAGGAGUUGGAUAAGCUUGGAGGUCCUACUUUUCCUUGGAGUUAGACGGUGGUAGUUACAGAGUGGAGGUACCAUGUAUAUUAGUGUGUAGUGUGUAGUGUGUGGUGGUAGGGUAGUGUCAGCCGAUUUUGACCUGAUAUAGACUAAGAUGUGCUGACCAGUGUGUAGGUUGCUGUUGUGUUUUACUUUUGACAAGCGCUUGCGCUGAUGUACCCCCAGCUCUUUAUAUAUAUUAGAACUUUUCUUUUUCAUACUGUCCUUUUACUUUAUUGCACCCGUUUUACUUACUUUACAUAUUACACUUGUUUUACAUACUGCACUUCAUAUAAACCCUGUGAUAUCAUUAUACCCUGUUUCUUUCAUUAUUGCUCUGUUCUGUGAAGAAGCAUGCGAUUUAUUUAAUUCAAUGAUCAAAAAUGUUUUCAAAAAGAAAUAUUCUGUUUUUCUAAAAACAAUUGCUAAAAGUUUUGAAGGUUAAAUAAACUGCUUGUUUCUUUACAGAGCUAUGCCUCCUAGAAGACAAACCCGUGCAACCAACCCUGAUGACAACAACAAUAACAAUAAUCCAGAACCUACAAUGGCCCAGAUUCUUCAGAUCUUGGCCCAACAGACUGCCAACCUGACUCAGCAGCAGGAAAGGCAGGCUAAUCCCCAGGUUACUUUCAAAAACUUUCAGUCUGUUAAUCCCCCAGAGUUUAAGGGUUCAGCGGACCCUAUUGAGGCUAGGAUAUGGUUGAAGGAAAUUGAAAAGGCAUUUAUGUUAGUUAAAGUGAGAGAUGAGCAGAAGACUGAGUUUGCUAGUUAUUAUUUGAAGGAGGAGGCCACCUAUUGGUGGGAGUCUGUGAGAGCAAUGGAAGGGACAGAGGAUGUUACUUGGGAUAGGUUUAAGGAGUUGUUUUUGGAGAAAUACUUUCCUCAAUUUCUCCAGGAUCGAAUGGAGUUACAGUUUUUAGAAUUGAAGCAAGGGGAUAUGUCAGUGGCUGAGUAUGAGAAAAAGUUUGCUGAGUUGGCUAGGUUUGUUCCAACCUAUGUAGAUACUGAUAGGAAGAGAGCUAAGAGAUUCCAACAGGGUUUAAAGGCAUGGAUCAGGGGAAAGCUAGCCAUAUUGGAAUUAGAUACUUAUGCGGCUGUUGUUCAGAAGGCAAUGAUAGCGGAAACGGAAAGCGAAAUGUCUCAGAAGGAGAAAGAGGGAAAGAAGCGUAAGCCAGAGCAUCAUGAGGGACAGUUUCAGCAGGGAAGGUUUCAGAACUUUAACCCGAAGAAAGGGAAAUUUCAGCAGGGGAGAAAUCCCACUUUUAAGAAGCCAGAUGUAGGUGGUAGUGGACAAGGUAACCGUCCAGCUAUUGGAAAUCAACCAAGGCCUCCACUGCCGGAGUGCCAGAUAUGUGGAAAGAGACACGGGGGAAUCUGUAAUAGAUUGAAUGUGGUGUGUUAUAAGUGUAAUCAGAAGGGACACUAUUCUAGGGAAUGUCAGAACCCACCAGCACGGACCCCAAUGAUUCGAGAUCAACCAGCAAGGAACCAACCCAAUAGGACUCCAGCAGCUGGGAUAACAUGUUUUAGGUGUGGAAAACCAGGACACAUGGUGAAGGAUUGCAAGGUACCAGCUCCAAGUAACCCUACACUUAGAAUUAUGGGAUCCACUCCAGUAGUCCCAGAAGUUCCCAAAGCCAGAACCUACAACAUGACUAUGAGGGAUGCAGUUCAGGAUGCAGAUGUGGUGGCAGGUACGCUUACUGUGAAUUCUUUAUGUGCUAAGGUUUUGAUUGAUUCUGGAGCUACUAGAUCGUUUAUUUCUGAGGAUUUUGUGCCUAAGUUGAAUUGUCCUAUAGAAUUGCUUAAUGAGGUUAUGAAUAUAGAGUUGGCUAAUCAGGAACGUGUCCCUGUUAGCCAAGUUUAUAGGAAUUGUGAAGUUGAGAUCUUAGGAAAUAAGUUUUGUGCCGACUUGAUACCUUUCAAGUUGGGAGAGUUUGAUGUUAUUUUAGGGAUGGAUUGGUUAUCGAAGCAUAAUGCUCAGAUAGAUUGUCGUAGUAAAAAGGUGAUGUUAAAAACACCGAAUGAGAAGACGAUAGUAUUUCGAGGGCAGAAACAGGUAAAGAAGUUUUUGACUAUGAUUCAAACGAAGAGAUUGUUGCGUCAAGGUUGUGAAGCUUAUAUAGCAUAUGUAACUGAUCAGAGUCGAGAACUUGUGAAGCUUGAAGAUAUUCCUGUAGUAAACGAGUUUCCAGAUGUAUUUCCAGAUGAGUUACCCGGAUUACCUCCAGAUAGAGAAAUUGAAUUUGCAAUAGAUUUAGCACCUGGAACCGAACCAGUAUCUAAAGCCCCAUAUAGAAUGGCACCAGUAGAAAUGAAAGAAUUGGCAACCCAGUUACAAGAUUUAUUAGAGAAGGGAGUGAUUAGACCCAGUGUAUCCCCGUGGGGAGCACCAGUGUUGUUUGUGAAGGAUGGUAGUAUGAGGUUAUGUAUCGAUUACCGGGAACUUAAUAAGUUAACCAUUAAGAAUAGAUACCCAUUACCCCGUAUAGAUGAUUUAUUUGAUCAAUUGAAGGGAGCGAGAUGUUUUUCGAAGAUUGAUUUAAGAUCGGGAUACCAUCAGCUAAAGAUUAAACAGGAAGACAUACCUAAAACAGCUUUUAGAACCCGAUAUGGCCACUAUGAGUUUUUAGUGAUGGCCUUUGGAUUAACCAAUGCCCCCGCAGCUUUUAUGGAUUUAAUGAACAGAGUCUUUAAACCAUAUUUGGAUAAAUUUGUGAUUGUAUUCAUAGAUGAUAUUUUAAUUUAUUCCAAAACCACUGAGGAUCAUGCAACCCACUUAAGGAUGGCUUUAGAGACAUUGAGAAGAGAGAAGCUGUAUGCUAAGUUUUCAAAGUGUGAAUUCUGGUUACAAGAGGUUCAAUUUCUAGGUCAUAUAGUCAGUAAAGAAGGAAUUAAAGUAGAUCCCUCCAAGAUUGAGGCAAUUAUGAAUUGGGAAAGGCCAAGGACACCAACAGAAGUCAGAAGUUUCUUGGGUUUGGCAGGUUAUUAUAGAAGAUUUGUUCAAGAUUUCUCAAGGAUUGCUGUACCAAUGACGAGGCUUACCCGGAAAGAAGAAAAGUUCGUGUGGACUGAAAAGUGUGAAGAAAGCUUCCAAGAAUUAAAGAAAAGGUUAGUAUCAGCCCCAGUGUUAUCACUUCCAGAUGAGCAAGGGAAUUUUGUAAUUUAUAGUGAUGCUUCUCAUAAGGGAUUGGGUUGUGUGUUGAUGCAACAUGACAAAGUCAUUGCUUAUGCAUCCAGACAACUCAAACCCCAUGAGCAGAAGUAUCCUACACAUGAUUUAGAACUAGCAGCCAUAGUGUUUGCAUUGAAGAUUUGGAGACAUUAUUUAUAUGGAGAAAAGUGUGAAAUCUACACCGAUCAUAAGAGUCUGAAGUAUAUCUUUACACAGAAGGAGCUUAAUAUGAGGCAGAGAAGGUGGUUAGAAUUGAUAAAGGAUUAUGAUUGCACCAUCAAUUAUCACCCUGGAAAGGCAAAUGUAGUGGCAGAUGCUUUGAGUAGGAAAGAAAGACUGAAUGUGUUGACGUUACCUAAGGAAAUAUAUAGAGAAUUCGAAAAGCUGGAAAUAGAAGUUAGAGUGAGUGAACCCUCAGAAGCUGGAUUAUAUACAAUGAUUUUUCAACCAGAGUUACUAGAAAAGAUAAGGAAAUGUCAAGAGACCGUAAUGGAACAGGAUGUUAAUAAUUUAGUUGGGGAAGAACUUUGUACCCAGAAAGAUGAGCAAGGUAUUCUAAGAUUUUCUUCUAGAAUAUGGAUUCCACCAGUACAGGAGUUGAAAGAUGAAGUUUUAAGUGAAGCACAUAGUUCCGCUUAUUCAAUUCACCCCGGGAGCACUAAAAUGUAUAGAGAUUUGAAGGAGAAUUAUUGGUGGCCAGAUAUGAAGAGAGAGAUUGCAGAGUGGGUAAAUAAAUGUUAUACGUGUCAAAGAGUGAAGGCAGAACACCAGCGACCGAGUGGAUUGUUACAACCCCUAGAAAUUCCAGAAUGGAAAUGGGAGCAUAUUGCGAUGGAUUUUAUAGUUGGAUUACCUAGAACGAGGGCAAAUCACGAUGCCAUAUGGGUUAUUGUAGAUAGACUAACUAAGUCAGCUCAUUUCCUUCCCAUUAACGAAAGAUUCUCAUUAGACAAGUUAGUCCAUAUGUAUCUGAAGGAGAUCGUCGUUCGUCACGGAGUUCCAGUCUCCAUUGUAUCCGAUCGAGAUCCACGAUUCAACUCGAGAUUCUGGAAGAGCUUUCAGGAAUGCUUGGGCACCAGAUUGAAUAUGAGCACUGCUUAUCAUCCACAAACUGAUGGUCAGAGUGAAAGGACUAUUCAAACAAUCGAGGAUAUGCUACGUGUCUGUGCUAUCGACUUCAAAGGCAAUUGGGAUGAACAUCUACCGUUAGUGGAAUUCUCAUACAACAACAGUUAUCAUGCAAGCAUUGGAAUGCCUCCUUAUGAAGCUCUUUAUGGACGUAAAUGUCGCUCACCCGUAUGUUGGGAUGAAGUAGGAGAACGCAAACUACUUGGGCCAGAACUAGUUCAGCAGACGAAAGAAGUGAUUGAAACCAUUCAAAGAAGACUGAUUGCAGCACAGAAUCGUCAGAGAAAGUACGCGGAUCAAGCCAGGAAGGAUAUGGAAUUUGAAGAAGGAGAACCUGUAUUACUGAAGAUUUCGCCAUGGAAAGGACUAUCCCGAUUUGGCAAGAAAGGAAAGCUAAGUCCCAGAUACGUCGGACCAUUCGAGAUCUUGAGGCGCGUUGGUAAAGUGGCUUAUGAGUUAGCGUUACCCCCACAUAUGGAGCAUAUUCAUAACGUCUUUCAUGUGUCAAUGCUUAAGAAGUAUCAUCCAGAUUCUAGGCAUGUGAUAGAGUACGAGCCAGUAGAGCUUCAGGCAGAUUUGUCUUAUGUUGAGACUCCAAUAGAGAUUCUAGAUAGGAAAGAGAAAGUGUUAAGAAAUAAAGUGGUGAAAAUAGUGAGAGUGUUGUGGAGAAACCCAAAAGUUGAAGAAUCAACUUGGGAGUUAGAAAGUGAUAUGCGUGAGAAAUAUCCUCACUUGUUUUCUUAGCAGAUUCUGAGGACAGAAUCCUUUUAAGGGGGGAAGGAUGUAAUAUCCGGGAUUUCGACAUGUAUUUAUUUAUGCCAGUAUGCGAAUAUUUUGUGAAUAUUAUGUGAAUUAAUUGUGAAUUAUAUGUUAAGUGACUUGUUGAAUGAUCGUUUAUGUAUGUUAUGACUUGUUAGAUUAUAAUUUUUAUAUGAUCAGAUCAAAAUAUGGAGAAUUUAGGCACUCAUUUGGCAAAUUAUGGAUUAUUACAUGAUUUGAUAUUUGAUUUAAGGGUUUAAUUAAGUAUAUUAUAAGAUAUUAUUAUUAAAUUGAUUUUAAACCCGUUUACUCGAUAAUUAAACCCCGGGGGGCUUCCGGGAAAAUUUUGCCGGUUUGUUAUUUGAGACAUUCUGAACAACUUUCGUGUUUUAACUUUUCCCAUCUGGUGUACGGAUUUACGUGAAAGAGUUUCGGAACGAUUUUAUGAAUAUUUUAUUAUUAUCGAUAAACGUGUACGCCGGAUAUUUUUAACCCCAAAUUAUUUUGACUAAAGCAUUAUAUUUCUCGUACUUCGUGCCAGACAAAGCUCGGAGCCCCAUACGUUUCUCGUAAUGUGUGUAUUUGAUAAUUAUCUUUAAAGUCGGUCCCGAACGGAUCAGUUUUAUUAAUACUUAAUGAUUAAGAAGUGUAUUUUAUAUCCGGUAUGAUCCAAAUGGGGGCCAGUUAUUCGUAAUUAUAAAUAGGAUAAUUAUUAGUUUAUUUUUCAUAAUUAUCAUUUCAAUACACGAGAAUCGAGAGAAACUAGUUAUUCGUUCUUCGCGUUCUUGAAGUUCAAUCGAAGGUUUGAAGGCGUUAUCGAUCUCAGAAUCAAGCAUACAAGUAGUCCAAACGAAGGUAUCGACGCGUAGAAUCCAUAUCAAGUCUCAAAAACAGGUAGAGAUUCACCGUUGGGGAGUAAUUUGAGUUUGAAAUUUCGUAUGAAUUAGGGUUUAAUUAGGGCUUUUUGAUUUUGAUGUGGUUUAUGUGAUUUUAUGCUUCCAUGUUGUAGAUAAUCUUCUCCUGAUCAUUUUGGUAUAUCAUAUGCAUGAUUUGGAGUUCAAUAACAUGUUCAAAAUUGAGUUUAAUUGUUCGAAUUAGAAAUUAGGGUUUAUAGCCGUUUGAAUGUUUUCAAUUGAAAAUUAGGACUUUUUAAUCCGGGAGGUAGCAGUGAAAUUGGAGGAUACCAUCAUGUUUGUCAUGUCUCCAGGAGUGUGUACAUAUGUUUAAAUUGUACCUGAGGUUCAGGAAUUGGACGAAUUGACGAGAAGAAAAACUCGCCGGCGACGGCGAGUUUCUUCACGUUUUUCGGCCAAUUUCUGGCUCGGUUGGUUGAAUUGAAGCUGUGUACAUGUUUGUUGAGUCAGGGAGAGUGAUUCUGGAGAUUAUGGCAGCCAACGGAGGUCGGGAGAAUAAUCUCCGACGAAGGUGGCGGUGGCCGACGGUAAAUUACCGUUUGGUCACCACACUUUCGAAGGUGAUGAAGUUAUCGCACUGUGGUUUCGUUUUUAACAUCGCAAACCCUGAAGUUUCAAAACCUUGCAGUUUAAACCUUGAAGUUUAAAAACUUUUAAAAACUGAUUUAUUUUAAAUUCUUUUAAUUUCGAAAAUCAUUUAUUAUUUUUCAAAAAUAGUUUUAAUUAUUUCUUUAUUCAAAAACAAAUCUAAUUUAAUUUAUUAAUUAACUUUAAUUAGUAAUUAAUUAUUAUAAUUAGUCAAUUAAUUUAAAUAUUAAUUGAUUAAUUGUUUUAAUUAUUUAUUAAUUGAUUUUAAUUGAUUUAUUAAUUAGAUUUAAUUGUUUUAAUUGUUUUAAAAAUCCAGAAAAAUAGUUUCAAGCUUUAGAAAAUUAUUCUAAAGUAUAUUGAAGGUUUGUUAAUCGAUUUCAAGUGAUUUCGAACCUUAUUUCGAGUAUUUGAACUUGUUUAUUCAAUUAUAACUUGAUUCUUUUACCCGUUUUUAUUCCGAAAAAUGUUUGAAAAUUCAUAACAAAUACCAGAAAAAUCAUUUUAACCCCAAACCUUUUCUGAAAAGCUAUUUCAUUGAUUCUCUUAUGUGGUAUAUGCUAUGUGUUACUAGAUUGAUAUGUGAAAUGCUUAUGUGAACAUUGUAUGACUGUUUUAUUCGUAUCUUUUGAACCGUAAGUCGGAUUUAAGUGAAACGAAGGGUAGAUAGAAGCUUGUUUCGAUUAUGAAACGAAUAAGAUGAUAUAAGAUUGAGUAUUGAUAGAUGAAUAUGGUGAUUGUCAGAUAAGGACAGGCUUAGAAAAGGAAAGCAGGUAGUGUGGGAGUGAUUCUGUUAGUGAAAGCUAUAGAGAGAAGUAAAGCUUCUGAAUAAGGCAAGUGCUCUAUUCUCAACUUAUACUUCUGUAAACUCCUUGAGUUACUGUUCUGCAUAUAAUGUCGUUGUUCUGGAUAGAUUUGAAAGUACAUCUGUUGAUAUAUUGUGCUAUUGAUCCUAAUUAUUGAUAAACCUUAUUCAACCCUCUUGACACCUGAAUUACAAACUAAACCUUGACUUUGAUUUCAAUUGAACUUGUACCCAUUUCUUUGAGACUUGGAAACACAAAUCAUUUGCUUUGAUAUUCUGCCAUCCUUGCAUGACCAAACAGUACAAGCCUAUAUGUUACAAUACUUCACCAAAUUAUACAAUGUCUUACCAAACACCUAUAUUACUCUUUCGAAGAAUGUUCACACAUAUACACCCUAACACUUGAAUUUCCUUCAAGAUAAACAUAAUUGGAACCUUAAGUCAAUCUCAAUUGCAUCAUUUCUUCUACAAACACCAGAUUGUUUUACCAUAUACUUAAUCUUUCUUUCGACUUCAAGCCAUUCUUCGAACAUAUUGUGAUGAUACUUGAACCUAAUUCUGAAUUGUCUUUUAAUCUUGAUAAAUAUUGCAACCCUCGUUAUAAUGAUUCUGAUUUGACGAUUAUGAUUCUGUUUUGGUAAUAUUGCUUCUGUUCAAAUGGGAUUGAUUCUGAUUUAUUGAGAUAUUGUUGAUUUCAUUAUAUGGUUAAAGAAUUGGAUUGUUUUAUAAAUGUGGACCAGAUUCGUGGUCAGACCAGAUUCGUGGUCAUUAGGCCAAUGUGUGCCUUGGAUCCAGUGAUAGAGCUUGGUAUGUACCUGGCUCGGGGUUAGUGCGUGACUGAUCAGCAGCCUAACCUUGGUUUUUAAAUAAAAAUAUGAAUAUCCAAUUCUAAUCACUGCUUUAGAAAGAGAUUUGAUAUCCUGAUUCAUUAUCAUUGAUAAUUGUUGAACUUCAGUUUAUUGUUUAUAUUGCUUGCUGAGCUGUAAGCUCAUUCUUGCGAUUCUUUAUGUUCUUUUCCAGUGAAGAAAGAGACUACUGUUAGCGAGGACCCACAGGCUAGCCAUCAAGCUAAGGUAUCAGGAUGAGUGUUGGGAAGCCUUGCUAGGAGUUGCUGAUAGUAUAAACUUUUGAGUAUCGUUGUGUGUAAGCACUACGUUUUAUGUUUGUAAGUUGUAAGAUGGUGAUUGGGAUUCGAGGUAUUGUAAUAUAAUUUAAGUUGUGGCUUGUUUCAUACUAUAACCUGGAGCGAUCCGUGGAUGUUUAGGGUCAAUGCAUAUAUUAUUAUUGUUUACAGGUUUAUAUUGUUGUGUGACCCCCAAGUCUAUGACCCGGAUUUGGAGGGCGUCACAGGUUGGUAUCAGAGCUACAGGUUAUGAGUCAAUGAAACAAGCCUAGAUUGUCGGGUUUGGGUAGAGGGAUUAAGAUUAGAAAUGAGUGAUAGGUAGAUAGAACGUUGAGUAGGUGAGUAAUGGUGACUAACANNNNNNNNNNNNNNNNNNNNNNNNNNNNNNNNNNNNNNNNNNNNNNNNNNNNNNNNNNNNNNNNNNNNNNNNNNNNNNNNNNNNNNNNNNNNNNNNNNNNNNNNNNNNNNNNNNNNNNNNNNNNNNUGAAGAAUGUUCACACGUAUACACCCUAAUACUUGAAAUCCCUACAAGUUAAACAUAUUUGAAACCUCAAGCUAUUCUCACUUACAUUGUUUUCUUUACAAAACCUCAGAUUAGCUUCACCAUAUACUUGAUCUUUCUUUCAACCUCAAGACAUUCUUCAAACAUAUUGUGAGGAUACUUAAACCUACUUCUGAAUUGUCCUUUGAUCCUGAUAUGUAUUGCACCACUAAUUAUCAUGAUUCUGAUUUGACGAUUAUGAUUCUGUUUUGGUAAUAUUGCUUCUGUUCAAAUGGUAUUGAUUCUGAUUUAUUGAGAUAUUGUUGAUUUCAUUAUAUUGUUAAAGAAUUGGAUUGUUUUAUAAAUGUGGACCAGAUUCGUGGUCAGACCAGAUUCGUGGUCAUUAGGCCAAUGUGUGCCUUGGAUCCAGUGAUAGAGCUUGGUAUGUACCUGGCUCGGGGUUAGUGCGUGACUGAUCAGCAGCCUAACCUUGGUUUUUAAAUAAAAAUAUGAAUAUCCAAUUCUAAUCACUGCUUUAGAAAGAGAUUUGAUAUCCUGAUUCUUUAUCAUUGAUAAUUGUUGAACUUCAGUUUAUUGUUUAUAUUGCUUGCUGAGCUGUAAGCUCAUUCUUGCGAUUCUUUAUGUUCUUUUCCAGUGAAGAAAGAGACUACUGUUAGCGAGGACCCACAGGCUAGCCAUCAAGCUAAGGUAUCAGGAUGAGUGUUGGGAAGCCUUGCUAGGAGUUGCUGAUAGUAUAAACUUUUGAGUAUCGUUGUGUGUAAGCACUACGUUUUAUGUUUGUAAGUUGUAAGAUGGUGAUUGGGAUUCGAGGUAUUGUAAUAUAAUUUAAGUUGUGGCUUGUUUCAUACUAUAACCUGGAGCGAUCCGUGGAUGUUUAGGGUCAAUGCAUAUAUUAUUAUUGUUUACAGGUUUAUAUUGUUGUGUGAUCCCCAAGUCUAUGACCCGGAUUUGGAGGGCGUCACAUAAUCGAGUUCAUGCUAAAGAUAAAAUAACUAAACUAAACUAAACUCUUUUCAAACUGCUAUCUAUGAUGAAUGUUUGCAGCUUUUGGAGGGUGAUAUUGGAGGAGGUGUAGUGAUGACUUUUUUUCGUUUGAGUAAUAGUGUAGGGGUGACUUACGCGUGUUGUAAAAUUAUAUUAUUUUGAUUGACUAUUUUUAUUGCAUUAUUUUUUCCUGACGAAAGAAACAGUAAGUUGUAAUUUUAGAUAUUGUUUGAUUUUAAUAGUAGUAAUUAUAGUUCUUAAUUUUAUUGAUUUUUUGAAUGGCAAGUUGACUCUCUUUAAAUUUGUUUAUCUUUGGAAUUUGACUUUUCUCUACAUGUUUUAUUUUGAAUUUUUGUGUUUUCAUUUGAAGAUAAAAUCUUUAUUGAUGGUUAUUGUACCUGAAUUCCAUAAUUCAUGGGGUCAUAAAAGAUGAUUUUAUUGUGCCUUAAUGAAGUAUUAUUGUGUCAUUAAUGAUUAAUUGGUUGAUUGAUGUAUACCAAAUUCAUAUUGUGCUGAUAAUGAUAAUUAGUUAAAUUCAUGAUACCUAUGUUUCUCAAGAUUUUGUCUUAUAUUUGAGUAGAUAGAUCUUGGCUAUGUUUUCAAAUUUUCAGUUAUAUUUUCUUAUUUAUAUUUUAAAUUUUUAUUGAUAUUAACAGUCAAUUACUCCUUGUGAGAUUUAUAUUUUAUUACGUAUCUAAUCAAAGGGAUCUCAUUAUCUCUUUGGUGUAGAUAUUUUUGAUUAUUUGUUUUCAAAAGUUUUGAUUUUUGUGACAAAAAAAAAAGUUUUGAUUUUACUUUCCUUAUUCUUUAUAAAUUAUAUUAUAUUCAUAUUUUUUUCUUUUUAAUUAUGAGUUUGUUGACUCUUUUUCUCUGUCGUUUGGAUAGUUUAAUUAUUUUAUAUUCUGUAUAAACUUAUUAUGUUCUUUUUUUGUAUUGUAUUUUUUCAGAGUACGCGAGUAGAUAAAGGAAUGAUAGCGGGACCUCUUAUGGGUGUUUUCUUAUUGAAUAUUAAAACUUUAUUGCAUAAGUGUUCCUGGUUAGGCAUGUAAAUGGAUCAAAUAUCCGACCCGAUCCGAGUUUAUCUAAAUGGAUAUGGUUAAAUAAUUCGCCCCCGAUAAAGAAUGGAUAUGGAUAUGGUAAAAUCCGAUCUGUUAACGAUCUGAUCUGAUACACGUUUAACUAUAUUAUAUAUUUUAUUUUAUAUCAUAUUAAAUUAUAUUAUAUAUACUAUGUUAUAUAGUUCUAUGGAGACCACUUUUUUUGGAGACCGUGGAGACCACUUAUGUUCUGCAAGUAAAAUAUUGCAUAAAAACAUUGCAAAACACAUAAUUUUGCAAAUCAAAUACAUUAUUUUGUGAAGUAAGUUCUAUAAAUAUCACCAAUUCAUUAAAAUUAUUGAAGAACAUCUAUGUUUAAUAAGUAGAAUGUGUAUGUUCUGCAAAUUGAACAAAUGUUCUGCAAACUAAACAUAUUCCGCAGGAUAAAAUAUUUAUAAUAUUCUACAUGCAAAACAUACAUGAUAUUCAAGAUUUUAAAUGAUAUAAUGAUCUUUGUACAACAUGAUUUGCAAAAUUAUGAGUUUUGCAAUGUUUUUAUGCAUAUUUUACUUGCAGAACAUAAACGGUCUUCACGGUCUCCAAAAAAAAUGGUCUCCAUAGAAAUUAACUCCUAUGUUAUAUUAUAUUAUAUUAUACUAUAUUAAAUUAUAUUAAUAUAUUACAUACAAAAAUAAAAUUUUCUAAAUAUACAAAAUUUUGAUUCUAGCCUACACAGGUGAACCACACAAAUCUCAAAUAUGUUAUAUGCAGUAGUGGUGGUAUAUAUUCUGUUCGAACUUGAAUCAGAAUAAGAGUAAGUCCAAAAGUGUCCUAGAUUGCCUUAUAAUAUUAUAAAAUAUAGUGUUAUAGUAAUUUAGGACAUCACCUGUUGUACAUCUACUCAAAGAAUGUGUAUAUUACUAAAAUAAUAAUAUAUUUGAAUACAAUUACAUGUAAGACAAUUGUGAAGAGGAGUGAAAAAGAAGUGAAGUGAAUAUUUUAUGAAUGAAAGUACUUUAGGAUAAGUGUAGCAGUGACUUAAAAGUGAGGCACAUGUUUUGUGUACUAGUGUUUUAAGACACCACUAGACACUUUUGGAUUACAUUUUUGUCUCAAGUGCCUUAAAAUUCUAGUUUAAGACAUCAUUUUAGGGCAUCUUUGGACAUGCUCUAACCAACAGUGAAUAUUAGCGGUUAUGUUCAUGUCAAAAUAGUGGGGCUAUUUUUAUAAUUUAGUAUUUAAAAUUGAUUUUGAUGUUAAAAUAAAAUCAUGUUUUUUUGUAAAUCUGGUUCAAAUUUAAACACCUUUUCAAAGACCCCGGCAAUUAUGAAUUUUUUUUUAAUUUCUCUCUCUUUCUACUUCAACUUAUGUCUCUAUCUUUCAUUCUACAUAUAUCACUAAUUAAAUUUUAGCACAAACUAUAAAAUAUCACUGAAAUGAUGAGUUUUAGUUCUAAAACAAGAUAUGGUAAGAUACAGUAGAUCCUUAAACUUGGAGAAACAUGUGAUUGGAUAUAUCAUCAGCAAUUUCUUCUGCAGAAAGACAUUGUGGACUAUGGUUUGAUCAGGAUUGACACCCAUAACACAUUAUUACAUUUUUCGCUAGAACUCGAAAUCCACAAAUUCAGUAAUCAGAAAGCAGCCAGAACAGGCUUAGGUGGAUCAACCAGAAAGAUAUCAAGAAGUUCCUCAACUGUUGUGUACUUGUACUCCGGGUAUAGCUCAACAACGUCCAAGUCAUCCUCUUUCAGAUCAUAAGCCAUCUCCUCGCCUUUUACGAAAAGGCUGUGAAGUAUGGCCAUUGGUACAUUAUCCGGAAAAGGCAAGGCUGCAUAUACAUUUAACAAAAUCAACUUGUUAGUCAUAUUCUUCUGCCACUAUUUGCAAAUCACAACUGAAUUUUUCGGUCGACUAAAUCUUACUCUCAGAAAGACCGAUGAGUUUUUUCUCAGAGACGUAGGCCUUUUCCAUAGUUCGUCCGGUUUUCUUCUCCCACAUUGAAAUCAAAUCCAACUGGGUGAUUAUACAUUUCGGAAGCCUGUAGAUAAUCAAACCAUUUUCUGUUCGGGAAUCCACCGCGACUUUCACUGUGUACUCUGCUAUAUCUUUUUCGUAGUUACAGCUGACUUGAUUAGCAAAUAAAAAGCAAUCUAAAUUAGGCAUUCCAUCAAAAAUUUGAAGUCACUGAGCUGAAAAGUGAUAAGAGAUAAGAACUUACACCGCGCUUCGCCAGUUCCAUAGAUGGUAACUUUGUUGCUUUUCUUGUCAUAUGGACGAAGCAGAUAAUUCACAAAAUAUGCACCAUAUGUGUUUGCAACCACAAAUGUAUAUGGUAUUCCAGAUUUUUCAGCGGCUCUUCGGAUGAUCUUCUUCUGGUCGCAACAUGCUUGAUACGGUGGCAGUGGACUAAUUCGAUCACACUCAUUUCCAAAUUCGGAGGGAAUGAAUCUCUGAGAAACAGAGCAAAUGUGUCAAUUCUUCCUAGCCAUCAAAACCCAAAUGUAUAAACAGAAAUCGUACCCAGUUCACAAAACUUCCAAACAAUUCGGGUACUUACCUUCACAUUACCCGCCUCUUUCAUGGCUGCUAUUAUUUUGAGUUGGUCCAUGAUCGGAGGCAUUCCCAGCGUCACAAUAACAAUAUCAACCUGGCGAAUCGCCUCAACAAGCUUCUCAUGUUCAUCGAGUUCUCCCUGUUGCACGAAAAAAUGUAUCAAAUGUACGGCCAUGAAGAGUUCUCCGCAUUUUAUAGGGUGAGAUUCAAACCAGAACUUUAACGGUGCAUGUUUACCUCAAAAAUGGUAACCCCGAGGGACUUAAAUUCUUUGAGAAGGUCCAGCUUGGAGGGAUCAUGAUGAGGUUUCACGGGUCGAGCAUAAACAUAAGUAGGAUGAGCAGCUGCGACGCAUGCUUUAACUUGGUACGUACCAUAAUAUCCGGUUCCUCCGAAUAUAAGUAUUUUGCUCUUCUUCUCAAUGUCUCCCAUUCUCUUCACUGUUCUUUAC